This 82849-nucleotide long non-coding RNA is filed under the name Triticum aestivum (bread wheat). Its description in RNAcentral is "long non-coding RNA (TAES_LNC020704)". Lineage: Eukaryota; Viridiplantae; Streptophyta; Magnoliopsida; Poales; Poaceae. The record is from RNAcentral.
CUUGAAGUGGUGAUUUAUUUUCUUAUACUAACGGAGCUUACGAGUUUUCUGUUAAGUUUUGUGUUGUGAAGUUUUCAUGUUUUGGGUAAGGAUUCGAUGGACUAUGGAAUAAUGAGUGGCAAGAGCCUAAGCUUGGGGAUUACCAAGGCACCCCAAGGUAAUAUUCAAGGACAACCAAGAUCCUAAGCUUGGGGAUGCCCCGGAAGGCAUCCCCUCUUUCGUCUUCGUUCAUUGGUAACUUUACUUGGAGCUAUAUUUUUAUUUACCACAUGAUAUGUGUUUUGCUUGGAGCGUCAAUUUAUUUUGUUAGGAUUUGCUUGCUGUUAUUUAGAACAAUUAUUUGCAUAUUUUGUUUCAAUAAAAGUGGCAUUGAUAGCCUUUACUAUGCCUAUUUUAGAAGUCCACAUGUUGCUGUUUGAAAACAGAAAGUUUACCGCUGUUGCAAUAAUUCCCUAGAAAAGUCAGAAUGUGAUAAAAUAUUGAAACCUUUUGCAUAUUAAGCUCUGAUAAAUUUAUUACAUUGGGAAUUUUCUUUCAUAAUUUUUGGAGCUAGGGAAGUAUGGAUGUUGCUGCAUUCUUUAUAGACUAUCCUGUUUAGGGAGAUUGCUGUUAUGUUUGCCUUGUUUGCAUAUGUUUUCUUCUUUAAUGAUUCUAUUUGAGGAUAGGACUAUUAAAUAUACAGAGGCAUUUAGUAUGAAAUGUUGAAUAAUAAUUUUAGUGAUUUGCUACAGUACAGUAUGAUAAGGUUCUGGCAAUGGUUUAUACUAACUUAUCUCACGAGUCCUUGUUGAGUUUUGUGUGGAUGAAGCUUUUGAGAUUUAGGGAGACCGCGAUAUGAGAGGAAUUAAGGAGACACAAAAGCUCAAGCUUGGGGAUGCCCAAGGCAUGCCAAGAUAAUAUUUCAAGAAGUCUCAAGCGUCUAAGCUUGGGGAUGCCCCGGUUGGCAUCCCAUCUUUCUUCUUCAACAACUAUCGGUUAGUAUCGCUUGAUCCUAAGUUUUUGCUUCUUCACAUGAUGUUUGCUAUUCUUAGAUGUCAUUUUAUUUUGCUUUGCUUGCUGUUUGAAUAGAUUACCAAGAUCUGAAAUUAUUAAAUGUUAGAGAGUCUUCACAUAGUUGCAUGAUUAUUUGACUACUCAUUGAUCUUCACUUAUAUCUUUCGGAGUAGUUUGUCAUUUGAUCUAGUGCUUCACUUAUAUCUUUUAGAGCAUGGUGGUAGUUUUAUUUUGAAGAAAUAGAUGAACUCUCAUGCUUCACUUAGAUUAUUUUGAGAGUCUUAAUAGCAUGGUAAUUUGCUUAAAACCCUAAUAUGCUCGGUAUUCAAGAAUAAUAAAACUUUCUUGUGAGUGUGUUGAGAUAUGGGGGUUUGAUGAAUACUAAGAGAAGUUUGAUGCUUGAUGAUUGUUUUGAGAUAUGGGGGUAAUAAUAUCAAAGUCGUGCUAGUUGAGUAGUUGUGAAAUUGAUAAAUGCUUGUGUUGAAGUUUGCAAGUCCCGUAGCAUGCACCUAUUGUAAACGUUGUGUAACAAAUUUGAAACAUGAGGUGUUAUUUGAUUGUCCUCCUCAUGAGUGGCGGUCGGGAACGAGCGAUGGUCUUUUCCUACCAAUCUAUCCCCCUAGGAGCAUGAGCAUAGUGCCGAGGUUUUUGAUGACUUGUAGAUUUUUGCAAUAAGUAUGUGAGUUCCUUAUGACUAAUGUAGAGACCAUGGAUUAUACGCACUCUCACCCUUCCAUCAUUGCUAGCCUCUUCGGUACCGUGCAUUGCCCUUUCUCACAUUGAGAGUUGGUGCAAACUUCGUUGGUGCAUCCAAACCCCGUGAUAUGAUACACUCUUUCACACAUAAACCUCCUUAUAUCUUCCUCAAAACAGCCACCAUACCUACCUAUUAUGGCAUUUACAUAGCCAUUCCGAGAUAUAUUGCCAUGCAACUUUCCAUCGUUCCGUUUAUCAUGACACAUUCAUCAUUGUCAUAUUGCUUAGCAUGAUCAUGUAGUUGACAUAGUAUUUGUGGCAAAGCCACAGUUCAUAAUUCUUUCAUACAUGUCACUCUUGGUUCAUUGCAUAUCCCGGUACAGCACCGGAGGCAUUCAUAUAGAGUCAUCUUUGUUCUAGUAUCGAGUUGUAAUCAUUGAGUUGUAAAUAAAUAGAAGUGUGAUGAUCAUCAUUAUUAGAGCAUUGUCCCAAGUGAGGAUNNNNNNNNNNNNNNNNNNNNNNNNNNNNNNNNNNNNNNNNNNNNNNNNNNNNNNNNNNNNNNNNNNNNNNNNNNNNNNNNNNNNNNNNNNNNNNNNNNNNNNNNNNNNNNNNNNNNNNNNNNNNNNNNNNNNNNNNNNNNNNNNNNNNNNNNNNNNNNNNNNNNNNNNNNNNNNNNNNNNNNNNNNNNNNNNNNNNNNNNNNNNNNNNNNNNNNNNNNNNNNNNNNNNNNNNNNNNNNNNNNNNNNNNNNNNNNNNNNNNNNNNNNNNNNNNNNNNNNNNNNNNNNNNNNNNNNNNNNNNNNNNNNNNNNNNNNNCAUAAAAAAGAGAAGGCCCAAAAAAUGAGAGAAAAAAGAGAGAAGGGACAAUGUUACUAUCCUUUUACCACACUUGUGCUUCAAAGUAGCACCAUGAUUUUCAUAGUAGAGAGUCUCUCAUGUUAUCACUUUCAUAUACUAGUGGGAAUUUUUCAUUAUAGAACUUGGCUCGUAUAUUCCAACAAUGGGCUUCCUCAAAUGCCCUAGGUCUUCGUGAGAAAGCAAGUUGGAUGCACACCCACUAGUUUCUUUUGUUGAGAUUUCAUACAUUUAUAGCUCUAGUGCAUCCGUUGCAUGGCAAUCCCUACUCCUUGCAUUAACAUCAAUCGGUGGGCAUCUCCAUAGCCCAUUGAUUAGCCUCGUUGAUGUGAGACUUUCUCCUUUUUGUCUUCUCCACAUAACUCUCCUCAUUAUAUUCUAUUCCACCCAUAGUGCUAUAUCCAUGGCUCGCGCUCAUGUAUUGCGUGAAACUUUAUAGGUUUGAGAUUACUAAAGUAUGAAACAAUUGCUUGGCUUGUCAUCGGGGUUGUGCAUGAUGAGAGCAUUCUUGUGUGACGAAAAUGAAACAUGACUAAACUAUAUGAUUUUGUAGGGAUGAACUUUCUUUGGCCAUGUUAUUUUGAGAAGACAUAAUUGCUUAGUUAGUAUGCUUGAAGUAUUAUCAUUUUUAUGUCAAUAUGAACUUUUGUCUUCAAUCUUUCGCAUCUGAAUAUUCAUACCACAAUUAAGAAGAAUCACAUUGAAAUUAUGCCAAGUAGCACUCCGCAUAAAAAAUUCUGUUUUUGUCAUUUACCUACUCAAGGACGAGCAGGAAUUAAGCUUGGGGAUGCUGAUACAUCUCCAACGUAUCUAUAAUUUUUGAUUGCUCCAUGCUAUAUUAUUUACUGUUUUGAGUGUUUAUGGGCUUUAUUAUAUACUUUUAUAUCAUUUUUGGGACUAACCUAUUAACCCAAAGCCCAGUGCAAGUUUCUGUUUUUACCCUGUUUUAGGGUUUCGAAGAAAAGGAAAACCAAAUGGAGUCCAAUUGACCUGAAACUUCACGCAACUCAUUUUUGGAAGGAAAGAAGCCCAGAAGAUUUGGAGUGCACGUCGGGGGAUCUGCGAGGAGGUCACGAGGCAGGGGGCGCGCCCACCCCCCCUGGGCGCGCCCUCCACCCUUGUGAGCCCCUCGUGGCCCCCCUGACGUACUUCUUUCACCUAUAUAUCUCCAUAUACCCUAAAAACACCCAUGGUGACAAUAGAUCGGGAGUUCUGCCGCCAGAAGCCUCCGUAGCCACCGAAAGCCAAUCUAGACCCGUUCCGGCACCCUGCCGGAGGGGGCAAUCUCUCUCCGGUGGUCAUCUUCAUCAUCCCGAUGCUCUCCAUGACGAGGAGGGAAUAGUUCUCCCUCAGGGCUGAGGGUAUGUACCAGUAGCUAUGUGUUUGAUCUCUCUCUCUCUCUCGUAUUCUUGAGGUGAUACGAUCUUGAUGUAUCGCGAGGUUUGCUACUAUAUUUGGAUCCUAUGAUAUUUCUUCCCCCCUCUACUCUCUUUUAAUGAAUUGAGUUUCCCCUUUGGAGUUAUCUUAUCGGAUUGAGUCUUUAAAGAUUUCAGAACACUUGAUGUAUGUCCUGCCGUGGAUAUCUAUGGUGACAAUGGGAUAUCACGUGAUUCACUUGAUGUAUGUUUUGGUGACCAACUUGCGGGUUCCGCCCAUGAACCUAUGCAUAGGGGUUGGCACACAUUUUCGUCGUGAUUCUCUGGUAGAACAUUGGGGCACUCUUUGAGGUCCUUUGUGUUGGUUUGAAUAGAUGAAUCUGAGAUUGUGUGAUGCAUAUCGUAUAAUCAUACCCACAGAUACUUGAGGUGACAUUGGAGUAUCUAGGUGACAUCAGGGUUUUGGUUGAUUUGUGUCUUAAGGUGUUAUUCUAGUACGAACUCUAGGGCUAUUUGUGACACUUAUAGGAAUAGCCCAACGGAUUGAUUGGAAAGAAUAACUUUGAGGUGGUUUCGUACCCUACCAUAAUCUCUUCGUUCGUUCUCCGCUAUUAGUGACUUUGGAGUGACUCUUUGUUGCAUGUUGAGGGAUAGUUAUGUGAUCCAAUUAUGUUAGUAUUGUUGAGGGAACUUGCACUAGUGAAAGUAUGAACCCUAGACCUUAUUUCCUAUCAUUCCAAUAUCGUUUACGCUCACUUUUAUCAUUAGUUACCUUGCUGUUUCUAUAUUUUCAGAUUACGAAAACCAUUAUCUACUAUCCAUAUACCACUUGUAUCACCAUCUCUUCGCCGAACUAGUGCACCUAUACAAUUUACCAUUGUAUUGGGUGUGUUGGGGACACAAGAGACACUUUGUUAUUUGGUUGCAGGGUUGCUUGAGAGAGACCAUCUUCAUCCUACGCCUCCUACGGAUUGAUAAACCUUAGGUCAUCCACUUGAGGGAAAUUUGGUACUGUCCUACAAACCUCUACACUUGGAGGCCCAACAACGUCUACAAGAAGAAUGUUGUGUAGUAGACAUCAGCGGACAAGGCGGAGGCCGCUGUGUUGAAGAAGCUGGUGGAGGCUGAGGCCGAUGCCGCGGCGAAGAAGAUGGCAAAGGAAGCCGCGCGCCGUCAGGCGCCGCUGUUCGUCAUCCCGCUAUAUUCCGCGCCGCUGCCACCAGAGUUCACGGCGCCGACUGGGGGAGCCAGCGACGAAUGGCCGGUCAUGGAGAGGGGAAGCGGCGACGUCGUCACGCCGGAGCUAGCCGUGCCCCCGCCACCGCCUUCUGAAGGAGCACGGGACAAACAGCCAACUGCCCCGCCAAUGCCACCAGCUGGAAACGAGGUAGUGACAGGCCCGACUCCUGAGGCACGCACACCAUCGCACUACCGAGGCGCAAAGGCGACUUCGGCGCCACAACCGCUGGCACUCGGCGCUGCGAGCUCGUCCGUCCCGGAUGCCGAAGCAACCAGCACCGCGCCCCCUAAGUGGGUGCGUGGAGGCGGAAUGGGCGCUUUAAACCAAGCGAUCCUGGACGUCUAGGCCAAACUCUGAGCUGAGGCCACUGCUCUUCAGCAGUGCAACAGGGCAUUAUUGGAUUCGCGAGCGGCCAUUCGGAUAUAUUUCUUACUUCUUCGUCUUUUGAUUCUUGUAUUGCUCUGUGGUGGCGCGCCAGCGCACCCACUGGGUGUAUCCCCCAAGUUUUGGGCCGGCUGCUGAGCAGGCGGCUCGGAACUUUAAUUGGCAAGCUCCGAGUGCUAACUUUUUCUGCUAUCUUCACUGUAGGAUUAUCAUAACCAUCGCGUGAUCACCUUCAACUCCAACGUCUCAGAUCUGGACCGACGGACCGCCGACUUGUCGGAAAGUCGGAGUAAGUCCUUGUUUUCUUUCUCUGUGGGGGCGCGAUAGCACACCCGCGGGCUGUAGUCCUCGAGAUUUGGGCAGACUACUGAGCAGUCGGGCCGGAUCUCCCCGGCAACCGCACUUCUUCUUUGUUGAUCACUGAUGUAUUUUUCUUUCUCUAUUCUUGCAGAUGCCAAUGCCGCCCUACAGCAGCAGCUGGGUGAAGCCGACAUCGGGGUGCGCACUAAGGAGUCAGAGUGCAACGAGCUGGCCCAGGAGUGUGAGCGACUGGCCAAGCAACUGGUGGAGCAGGCGGAGCUUCUCUAGAAGGCCCGGAGGGAGGCGGAGGUGAAAGAGUCCAAUCUUCUCACCGAGUUCGAAACCGAAUGCUCCACCUGGUCCAACAAGGAGGCGCUGCUAAAAUCCCGGCAGGAUUGAAGGCAUGGUUGAUGGUAAGCUUUCUUCUUUUUCUUUCUUUGGGCAACCGGCUGCCGAUCAAGCCAGGUUCUAGCUUCUGACUUCUGACUUUUGAUUUCUUUGCUUUUUUCUUGAGCAGACUUCUUUCCUGGCCAUUCUGACGCCGCCAACCAGGCUAUUGGGGCUUAUCUUGAAGAACAGAGGGCAGAAGGCGUGCAGAUCCCUGCCGACGCCCCCCGGACCCUUAGCGAACAGCUUCUCAGCAUCCAAGCCCGCCUUCGGUCGGCUCAUCGGAUGUUGCGCCAUCUUCAGCGUGUCGGGGCCCAAAUGAUCUCUACCGUUUGGCCAGACAUGCCAGCUCCACGCACUCCCAGUCAGACUGCCGACUGGCUGGAGGUGGUGGCUGUCCGACUCGAGGCUUGGAAGAGUUCCUCGGCCCGAGCUGGAGGGUGCCAGGCCUUGGAGUUCGUCAAGGUGUGGUAUCCUGGGCUAAAUCUAGCCUAGUUGACCACGGCAGGAGGCCCAAGAGGAGCUAGUGGCGGUGGAGCGCGAUCUUGUCAGAUGGGCAGCGGCGAUUGCCAAGUUAACCAACACCAGCAUCUUCGUUCCUGAGCUGGCUGAGAACGGUGCCGAGCCACCACCAGAGUGGUUCGAGCUGAACCCGGAUGACGACGAGGACUCGGCCGAGAUGAUCGACUCCAGCGACGAGGGAGAGGACGAGGAGGACGAGGAAGGCGAAGAAGAUGUUCCAUAAGUCGAAGUGGACGACCAGCCUCAGCUUGACCGUGCCUUGAACAACGAGCUGCGCUCGAGUGCGCCGACUGCUGCUGGAGGCGACCAAGCAGAGACUGACUAGCCAUCCACUCCACCAACUGGCACUUCCGACUCCGCCAACCAACCGGACCCCUCUGCUGCUCCCUAGGCUGCCGACUUAUCUUUAUUUUUCCUACUUUAUCAGUCUCGACAAACUUUGUUAAAUUUGCACAAUUCCACCCGCGGGGUGUAUUUCAAACUUUGUUGAAUGCUGGCCAAGGGCCUUUUGACAUGUAAAUAUUCUUCCACACAAAUUGUGUUUUCGUCGAGUUCUUACUUUUCUUGCUUUCUGCUCCUUGGCUUUUUUUCCUUUGCUGCCCUCCCUUAGUUGUCGUCUUGCCAGCCAGACAACCGCUCUGCGGACUGUGGCUGGGUCAAGUACUUAGCUACUUUCAGGAGGGAAAGUACUUAGCCGACUAGAGUUUUAACAAAUUAAGUAGAAGCCGGCCGGCCGGCUACUCAGCAGCCGGUCGAUGAAGUGGAAAGUCGGCUUGAAAUAUGUGCAUGCUCUGGGUCCUUAGCCAUUUUUCAUGUGGACACCCUUUUAUGUCUUUAGCUCCUGCCCACCGGACAGUCGCUCUACGAGCUACGACUUAUGGCAGGAGAAGGUUAAGGUGCCAACACACUACUUGUCCGACAGCAGGAAGCACCACAUAGUACAAGGCGGCGAGCCCUCGGGCCGACUAGUCGAACCCGGCGCGAGGCGGAAUAAUGAAAUAACACAUUCAUAGGCAUAAUACUUAUCAUAUAGAUAAAAUAGGGUAGCCCCUGAGCUCUUCUCGGGGGACCCGUAGUCUUCGUACUUAAUACAAAAGGUAGCAUGGUACAUACUGCACCAACUGUAAAAUCUUCGAAGGAGGUUGGCAUUCCAUGGCCGCUCUAUCUCCUUGCCAGAAUCGUCUCUCUUGCAUGCUCUGGGCUUCUGAGCAUCGAUCAGGUAGUAGGAGUCGUUGCCCAAAUAUUUGCUGAUGAUGAAGGGGCCUUCCCAAGGUGUUGAGAGCUUGUGCUGGCCGGCUGUCCGCUGGAUCAGCCAAAGCACAAGGUCUCCCUCUUGGAAGGAUCUUGACUUGACCUUGCGAUUGUAGUAUUGGCGUAGACUCUGCUGGUAGAUGGUGGGCCGACUGAGUGCCAAUAGCCGGCCCUCUUCUAGCAGAUCGACGCCGUCUUCUCGUGCUUCUUUUGCCUCCUCCUCAGUGUACAUGGUGACUCGAGGGGAGUCGAACUCUAUGUCCGUCGGGAUGACGGCUUCGGCACCGUAGACGAGGAAGAAAGGCAUGAAGUCGGUUGAUUUGUUUGGAGUUGUGCACAGGCUCCAGAGGACGGCCGACAGCUCAUCGAGCCAACAGUCGGCCGAACGUUCCAGAGGCUCGACCAGUCGGGGCUUGAUGCCGGACAAAAUGAGGCCAUUUGAUCGCUCCACCUGGUCGUUUGACUGCGGAUGGGCAACGGAUGAUAAGUCUAGUCGGAUGCCAUGUGUUGCACAGAAACGAGCCAAGGCGCCUUUGGCGAAGUUUGUGCCGUUGUUGGUGAUGAUGCUAUGUGGUAUGCCAUACUGAAUGGUGAUGUUAGCGAUGAAAGUCACAGCAGUCGGACCAUUCAACUUCUUGAUUGGUUUUGCUUCUAUCCACUUGGUGAACUUGUCCACGGCGAUAAGCAGAUGAAUCAUGCCGCCGCGUGCUGUCUUGAAUGGUCCCACCAUGUCCAGCCCCCAAAGGGUAAAGGGCCAGGCAAUGGGGAUGGUCUUGAGUGCAGAAGCCGACAAAUGUGGCUUGGAGUGGAACUUCUGGCACCCCUUACAUUUCUGGAACAAGUCUUUGGCAUCUUCUAGAGCAGUCGGCCAGAAAAAACCAUGGCGGAAAGAUUUGGCAACAAGUGAUCUUGAAGCUGCAUGGUGACCACACUCUCCCUGGUGGAUAUCUUUGAGGAUUGAUUGGCCUUUCUUCGGCUCCACACAGCGUUGGUACACACCAGUGACGUUGCGCCUCACAAGUUCUUUGUUGACAAUGGUGUAUGCUGCUACCCUACGUUGCGCUUGUCGGGCCGAGAUCUUAUCCGUCGGCAGCUCCUUGUUCACCAGAGAGUUGAGGAUGGGCUGCGCCCAUGACGGUGCUGCUAUUUCUUCGACUACCAGGGCUGCUACUUGUAUGAGGGUGGUUGGGCCGGGAGGCGGCGGGUUGGAGUUGGUUUCCGCUUUCUGGGUCGAUGAAGUCCCCGAGCCGACUGCUUUAGUCCUCGGGCCGGGCUCUGAAGUUCCCGGGCCGGGUGCGACUACUGCAGCCCCCGAGCGAGCUACCGAAGUCCCCGAACCGGCUGCUGGGAUCCCUAGGUCGGAUUUGACUGCUUUGGGGGGAGCUGGCACGAAGAUGGAGUCUGAUUUUGGUGACGUCUUGAUGGAUGGCUUGAGGAGGCAUUGCAGGGCAACGCCGGCUGGUAAUGCUUGCCGGGUGGAGCCAAUUCAUGCCAAAGCAUCGGCUUGCUCAUUGUCGUUUCGUGGCACAAGGAGGAGCUCGCACCCUUCAAAGUAUCCGCUGAGUUGCUGGACGAGAAAGCGGUAGCUUGCCAUGUUUGCAUCCUUGGCGUCCUAGACGCUUGACGACUGCUGGACAACCAAGUCGGAGUUGCCAUAGCACAGGAUCCGGCAAAUGCCGAGUUCCUUGGCAAGCCAGAGCCCGUGUAUAAGUGCUUCGUAUUCAGCUACGUUGUUGGAGGCGGCAAAAUGAAUUUGCAACACAUAUCUGAGCUUGUCGCCUUUGGGAGAGGUAAGGACGAUGCCGGCUCCCAAACCAGUGCGCAUCUUGGAACCAUCAAAAUGCAUCCACCAAUGGGUGGAGUUCGGUGCUGGCGGCAGGUACUGUGUCUCGGCCCAGUCGACGAGGAAGUCGGAUAGUGCUUGGGACUUGAUGGCGGUGCGAGGCUGGUAGUAGAUGGUGUAGGGGGGCAAAUCUAUGGCCCAUUUGGCCACUCGUCCCGAAGCAUCUCGGCUUCCAAUGAUUUCGGCAAGUGGAGCAGUGCAGACAACAGUGAUUGGGUGCUCUUGAAAGUAUGGCUUCAGCUUCUUGGCGGCGAAGUGCACGCCGUAGCACAUCUUCUAAUAGUGGGGGUAGUUCUGCUUGGAGGCAGACAACACUUUGCUCAGGUAAUACACCGGCCUCUGGACUGGUAGUGCUUUGCCGUCUUCUUUGCACUACAAAACUAAGACUGUGCUGACCACCCGGCUGGUGGCGGCGGUGUAGAGAAGCAUGGGCUCCUUAGCAGUCAGAGCUGCCAGGACAGGCGGAGUGGUCAACAUCUUCUUGAGAUGGAGAAAAGGUUCGUCUGCCUUGUCAUUCCACUCGAAAAAAGUGGUCUUCUUCAUGAGCUGGUAUAGGGGAAGAGCCUUCUCGCCCAGCCGACUGAUGAAACAGCUGAUGGAUGCCAAGCAGCCGCUGACUUUUUGCACAUCCAACAGUCGGGUGGGUACUUCCAUCCUCUCGAUGGCCUUGAUCUUCACAAGGUUGCACUCUAUGCCGCGCUCUAAGACCAGAAAACCAAGAAGCUGGCCGGCUAGUACUCCAAAGACACAUUUCUCCAGGUUGAGCUGGAUUUGAAAGCGGCACAAGUUUUCAAAGGUUUCCUUGAGGUCUUCCAGCAGAGUGCCACGCUUCUCCGUCUUCACGACAAUGUCGUUACGUAGACGUGAGCAUUUCUGCCAAGUUGCUUGAGGAGGCACUUCUGCAUGCAACGCUGAAAUGUGGCACCGACAUUUCUCAGGCCGAAUCUCAUGGUUAGGUAGCAGAAGGCUCUGAAUGGUGUGAUGAAGGCAGUCUUCAGGCGGUCUGCUGGGUCCAACUUGAUCUGGUGGUAUCCUGAGUAGGCAUCCAAAAAACUCAACAACUUGCGUCCGACUGUGGAGUCUAUCACUUUGUCGAUUCUUGGCAAGGCAAAUGAAUCUCUAGGGCAAGCUUUGUUGAGGCUGGUGUAAUCAAUACACAUGCGCCACUGCUUAUUCUUCUUCAGUACAGGGACUGGGUUGGCUAACCACUCUGGGAAGAACACUUCCAUGAUGAAGCCGACUGCCAACAAACGGGCGAUCUCUUCUCCAACGAUUCUUCUCUUCUCUUCUGACAGUCGACGGAGGCGUUGCUUGACUGACUUGGCAUCUCCUCUGACAUGUAGCUUGUGCUCGGCGAAAUCCUUUGGGACGCCCGACAUGUCUUUGGAGACCAUGCAAAAAUGUCCCGAUUCUCACGGAGGAAAUCGACGAGCUCACUUUCCUAUUUGUUGUCAAGGUUUGCACCUAUGACAGCGUACCUCUCCGGGUGCUCUGGGUCCAACGAUAUCUUCUUUGUCUCAUUGGCCGGCUUGGAGGAUCCUUCGUCUUCCGACUCCUUUGGAUUGUGGGACAUGUUCGGCUGCUUGACGGCCAUGGCCACAACCCGGUCAAGGAGCCGCUUCUCGGCAGCGAUCACGAGGGACUCGGCCAGCCGGCUGCUGGCGGCCGCGCAAUCGGACAACUUCUGAUGAUCUCCGAAGAUGGUAAUGAUUCCCUUGGCGCUUGGCAUCUUCAUCUUGAGGUAGGCAUAGUGUGGUACUGCCAUGAACUUGGCCAAGGCAGGUUGGCCAAGCAGUGCAUGGUACGAGCUCUCCAAGUCAACUACCUAAAACCAGAUGGGCUCUCGACGAAAAUGGUCUUUGUCUCCGAAGAGGACGUCUAUCUUGAUCUUGCCGAUUGGUUAGUGACAAAGGCCAGGAACUAUGCCAUGGAAGACAGUCCGACUGGGCACAAGGUGCUUGGUUUUGAUCUUCAAUUUCUCCAUGGUGUCACGGUACAGGAUGUUGAUGCUGCUGCCGCCAUCUAUCAAGAUUCAGGAGAAACGAGCAGCUCGCCUCUUCGUAGAAACGAUUGCUUCCAAACCAAAUCGUAAGAACCCGGAGAAGGCAUUACUUCUGGGUGGUCAGCUCGGCUCCAACUGAUUGGCUUCUCCGACCAGUGCAUGAACUCUGGGGCUUCAAUGGCUACAACAUUCACUUCUCGGGACUGUUGGCGCCGGCUGUGCCUGUCAUCGACCACACUGGUGAAAACAACAUAUGCUCCGUGUUCUUCAGGGAAUUUUUCUUGAACGGUGUUGACUGCUGGGCGGGCUGCCGGCUGCUGAGGAGGCGGGGGAGGCUGGCCAGCAGGCGGCGGGGGUACCAUCCUUUUGCCUUUGGAGAUUCGCGUGAGCCAGUGACACUUCCAGGUGGUGUGGUUGGACGGCUUUGCGCCGCUGUGGAAUUUGCAGGGAGCAUUAAGGGUCUGCUCAUAGGAGAAGGCGGGCUGGGCCAAUUCAACUUGCCAUCUUUCUGACGCUUGGGUUGAGGCUGCCCUUCUUGCUGCUGAUCUUCAACUAUGGCCACUUGCCGACUUGUGGAAGCUGGCAUCGGGGCUUUGCGCUUGUUGUCGUUCUGCUGUUGGCGCCGACUGGUAUCACUAGCCGGAGUCCGAGCAGGCUGAGGAGCCACCUUGCCGGAUGCGUCAACUUGAAUCUCCGUCUUCAUGGAGGAGUCGGCCGUCGCGUACUUGUCUGCUAUGAUCAGCAGCUCGUCGAGGGUCGCCGGUUCGUCACAGAGGAGCUUGUGCUUGAGCAGAGUGCCUUCUCUGCACCCUGCUGUAAAGUAAUCUAUAGCCUGCACUUCGUGCAUGCCCUCGCAAGAGUUGUGCAGCUCAGCCAGCGUGUGAGGUAGUCGCGAGUCGACUCGUUGGGACCUUGGACGCUCAAGGAGAGCUAGCGAGGCUUGGGCGGCCGCUUGUACGUGCUGGUGAAGUUGCGGACGAAGGCUUCAGUGAAAUCUACCCAGUUGUUGAUGUUGUGGGGCUUCAGGCUGUUCAGCCAUGUCUGGGCAGUGCCCUGGAGCAUGAGUGGAACAUACUUCAUGGCAACCCGCUUGUUGCUGUUCGCAAUGCUGACGGUGGUGGAGUAGUCGACUAGCCAGUCUUCCGGCUUCCCGGAGCCGGUGUACUUGGGCGUAUCUCUUGGGAGCGUGAACCCUUUGGGGAAGGGCUCGUCACGGAUGCAGGGGCGAAACAAGGCGGGCCUAGCGCGUCUUCUUCUUCUAAUGCCAGGGAUCGGUUGAGGCGGUUGAUCCCGUGGCUGGCAUCAUUCUCUUCGAUUCCUUCUCCGGGGCCUAGCCGGCCGCCGAGACUCGGAUGAUCAACAGGAGGCGGGAGACGUGUCUUUCUCUGCGCGGGGGAGGCCGGUGUCGGUGUCAAAACCGGCGGAUCCCGGGUAGGGGGUCCCGAACUGUGUGUCUAAGGUCGAUGGUAACAGGAGACAGGGGACACAAUGUUUUACCCAGGUUGGGCCCUCUCUAUGGAGGUAAUACCCUACGUCCUGCUUGAUUGAUCUUGAUGAAUAUGAGUAUUACAAGAGUUGAUCUACCACGAUAUCGUAAUGGCUAAACCCUAGAGGUCUAGCAUGUAUGGUUAUGAUAGUGUCUCUCCCUCCAGAAUAAGUCCUCCGAUUUAUAUAGACACCGGGAGGAUCUUGGGUUACACAAGGUCGGUUACAAAGAAAGGAAUCUACAUAUUUAGUUGCCAAGCUUGCCUUCCACGCCAAGGAGAAUACCAUCUGGACACGGGUGUGAUCUCCGGUCUUCAUAUCUUCACAACCCAUCAGUCCGGCCCAUGGCUAACAGGCCGGACGCCCGAGGACCCCUUAGUCCAGGACUACCUCAGUAGCCCCUGAACCUGGCUUCAAUGACAAGGUAUCCGGCGCGUAGGCCUGUCUUCGGCAUUGCAAGGUGGGUUCCUCCUUCCGAAUUUCCAAAAUAGUCUUCGGACGUAUCGACGUGUCCAGACCUAUAACACACACCACACACAACCGCAGAGAGAAUAUAAUUUUACAUGAGUCCAAUCUGCUGACAACUUUCCAUAACAUGACAUCACAUCUGUCCGGUCAUAAUUUCGAACCGUUUUUCGUCUGCUGCCCCAUGUUUCGAGACGCGGUUGCCAUUGGCACGUCUCAUCAAAGCAGAGAUUGUGUCCCCUUAUUACGGGAUUCUCAUUAAUACGGGUGUGGGUAACCCAACCGUGUCAUUUACAUAGCCCUUGGGAAUAGGCGAGUUUUAAGGCGAGUAGGAAGGCGUUUGACAUUCACGGCCUUUAUAAGGGGAUAAGGAUUCAUACUCUCUCACCCCUGCCUUCUCCUUCCUUUGCCCAUCCAUUCUCGAGCUCCAGCAUCCAAGCUCUAGCUUCCCCCACUGGAUAAAGCACUCCAACCAUGUCUGGAUCCGGAGCUCGUGUCAAGUGGAUGGCCUCCUCUGUUAAGAAUAAAGACAUCAAGGAGCUCCAAGAGGCCGGAUACCUGGCCAAGGAGAUCGUUCACUGUCUCCCGUCCGAGGGACAGAUCGUCCCUACCCAGAGGCCCAUGAGAGGGUUGUGUUUCUCACACAUUUCGUCCGCAGGCUGGGAUUCCCUCUCCACCCGUUUGUCCGUGGACUGAUGUUUUACCACAAGCUGGACUUCCAUGAUCUAGCCCCCAACUUUAUCCUCAACAUCUCGGCAUUUAUAGUCGUUUGCGAGGCCUUUCUCCGCAUCCCACCUCACUUCGGCCUAUGGCUGAAGACCUUCAAUGUAAAGCCGAAGGUGGUGAGAGGCCAACAAGCAGAAUGCGGAGGUGCGAUGGUGGGCAAGAUUCCCAACGUCACAUGGCCUGAAGGAUCCUUUGUGGAGACGGUGAAGGGGUGGCAGUCGGGGUGGUUCUACAUCACCGAGACACGUGACACCAACUGGGCGGCGGCCCCCGAAUUUCGAUCCGGAGCUCCGCUGUGGCACACCUCCUGGCAAGAGAAGGGCCUAACCUGGGGUUCUUCGAACGAGCUAACUAGGCUCCAGACGUGCGUCCAGAACAUGAUAACCAAGAGAAUCAAACUUGUCAACGUGAUCCAGGUUAUGCUCAUUCGAGGGAUCCUUCCGUGCCAACACCGGACUUGCUAUUUGUGGGAGUUCGAUUCAGCCAAGCACCACACGCUGCUAGAGCUCUUCGGCAUGACGCACGAAGACAUCUGGAUAUUGUUCUUCAAUGCCAGCGAGACACCACUGCCUACGACCGAGGAUCGCGGGCUCAGCUUAAAACGCUAGGCUAAUUCGGUAAGUUCUUUCAUGUUUUCAAGGUAUAGCCUUUACUGGCAUAUUUUGCGAAGGAGUCUAACCCUUCCUAUCAAUUUUUUAGGCCUGGAUCGACAUAGCGGGGCAGAUUAACUGUCCGGCUCCGCUACCCGAAGACCAAGAGACCCCGCUUCUGACGAAGAUGCUGUUUCUGACGCUUUAUGAUGUGCCAGAGCAGAAGGCCAAGAAAACGGCCAAGGGGGUCCGGAGUGGCCUUCGCCAAAAAGGCGCUUUCGACGUGGGGACCCCCUCUUCGGCCGCCGAAGAUGACGACGACGAGGAGGAAGAGAGCGACUCUCCCCCUUGGGGGGAAGGAAGAAAAGGGGGUCUCCCCAAAUUUGGAGGCGAAGGCGCCCAAGAGGGAGAAGGGCUCCCUUGCGGAUAACUCCGUGUGGGAUGUCUAUAGCAGUCCGGAGCGAAUACCCCGGACCAAGCCUUGGGCCGCCUUGUAAGUACAAAAAACCUUAUGGACACCAAAAUGCCUGGCCUUUCCAUUUUGUAAUAUUGAUAUGUUUAAAUUAUGCCAUCACAGUCCAGCCCGCGACAGCUCCCUGCGAUCCUCGACAAAGGGUUCGCUAGAUUCAAAGGAGAUGGCCAGCAUGUCACCGCCACCUGCUCACUCCCCCAAGGCUAAGGACGACGCGGAGGUGUUGUCCUGAAGGACUUUCCUGGGCCCGGGAGAGGCUCAGGAGGAGCCAGAAGGCGAUGCCUCCGUCGCCGGACACCAGCGGGAGCCGAUCCCCAUGGAGACUGGUGGUGAGGAGGGCCGUGUUCUGUCCGGCCCUCAGCCGGACUCGAUUCCAGAGACCGACGCAGCUCCCAAAUCCGGCACGCAACCUCCUUUGAAAGAAGGGGGUAUACGUAUUCCGCCGGUGACCCCUGUCCAACCCAGGGCACCGGAUAAUCUGCUGGAAGCGCUACGAGGCGCUUCAAAUUGUGGGUGAGCACCGUGUCCUUAUGGGCACGGUAAUUGAGAAGGUUUAGUACGCCAAAAGCGGACUGACUGAGGCCCGUGCUAGCCUUUUAACAGGCUUUGAGGUAAGUAGUGUAAUUGUAGAAAGGAUAUCACAGUGUAGACAGUAGCCCCUGAUGCUCUGUUUGGUGUUCAGAAAGAAAAAGCCAAACAGAGGAUCAAAAAAUAAUUUUCGCAGGAGUCUAACGUAAGAUGUGUAUGUGAAUAAGCAGGCGUCGCUGCUGGCUGCUGCCGCUCACACUGCGGAGGUCACCGUCCUGAAGCAGAUCCUGGAGCAGGCCAAAGAAGAGCUCGACCUCAUGAAGAAGCAGCUCGAGGACAACCAAUGUAUGCAGUGACUUGCGCAUGUAUUGAGGAAGGAUGAACGUUCCGUGCUGACUAAAGUGUCAUGAAUUUUAUUAGCAGUCAUGACUGAGGUGGUGGCCUUCAAGAAGGCGUUAGAUGAGGCUGAGGACAAAGCGGCCAAGGAGCGCGCCGCGCGCGAGAAACACGAGGCCCAGGUCAGCGAGGUCCAGCAAGAACUCCAGGAUGCCGUCAAGAAGUACGAGUCCUUGGAGCGUGAUUCUAAGACGCAAGCGUCUGAACUUGCAAAGGCCCGCCAGAGUGCACAAGAGGCUCGAGCCGAGGCCCAGAGCACCCUUCAGGAAAUCCAGGCGGCCAAGAAGAUCGCGGCGGGUAAGGCAUUCAUUAUGCAAAGCAAGUCUAUGAAGGAAACAUUCCUUUUACUUCCCCGAAUUUGGAGUUCUCCAGGGGCGUUACCAGAUUUGCCGCGUAGCGUACCAUAUGCUACUGAGUUCUAUCGAGCCGUAGAAGGGAGUUCUAUGGAGAAGCUGUUCUGGUCUCAACAUCAUGGACCAGAACAUCCGGUGCCCUUCAGCGACUAGCUGAAACAGCUGGUCGAGCUGCACAAGGUGGCCGAGCUAGCCAUGAAGGACCUGGUAGUCCGACUAUGGCCUACCGUGCCGAUACCUAGCAGCUACUUUGGACUUGUGAAGCGGCUUGUUAGUACCUUCCCACGGCUUGAGUUCAUAAAGCGAUCGGUCUGUAUUGAAGGUGCCCGGAUGGCCUUUGCCUGUGUCAAGAUGCACUGGGCGAAGAUGGAUGCCAAGAAGCUGAUGACCGAGGGGCCGCCUGAGGGCAAGGAGCACCGCCAUCCCGAGUUAUAUUUUGAUGGUGUCCUGGAGGGAUCCCGCCUUGUGGCGGAGCAAUGUGCAAAGGAUGUUAUAUUCCCAUGAAAAUAUUUGUAUUAUCCUGUCCCGUAACAUGAAUCAACGAUGUUGUGUAAUAUAAUGCUUGUUAUGUUUUAAUUUUUUCCUCCUGUGCGGCCGUGUUGUAUGAAAUCUGAGGAUUGGCCAGUCGUCGGCUUCUGCCCCCAUGUAGGUAGUACGGGGGUGUUCGGGAUGGAAUCUAAAGAAUCUUGAUCCAAUUAUAUGGUCCUUGAAGGAUUUGUUUAGUGCAACGAACCAGGCAACGGAACUAUGCGGCUUGAACGCCCUCACUUAGCCAUAGGAGUUUUACAAUCAAAACAUGGGCGCAACCCCUAGUAUCCAAACUAGAGUGCUAUAAGCGUCUGAUCGGGAAGUACCGAUCCUUCGCGUAACGCGGAAGAAAUCUCCAACGAUUUGUAACCUCUGAACAGUUGACCGGCUUUCGCUGCAUCAUGACAGUCAAUUUUUCGCUUUCUCUACUCAGGUGCUCCUUUGGAUAAACCAAGGCACAAUCGCAGUAGUUCUCCCUUUACUACCUUAGCCGGUAUAGCGGAACGUAAGGUAGCAAGCACAGGAGCCAGCACAUGAUUCAGAGCCAAUGCAUAUAAUGCUAAACUCGGGGUGCCGAACUAUACUUUAUAAAAAGUGUUCGGACUUUUGUUGUCGUAACAUGGGGUUCUAUGAAGCCCCUGGCAAACAUCAAAUGUACCAAAGUGUAUGGGUGCUACCUGAUAGGGUUAUCCAUGGGGGACCUGAAAAAGAGAAAGAAAACAGAAAAGGUACAACGGUAAAAAGCUGGGGUCCUAAAGCUCCAACCGCAAACUGUUCUUAUUGUAAUUUAAUUAGUACGUCAAGGCACAUUGAUACAGGCAGUGCGAUAAGCAACAGGCUAUUUGACAUGCCAAAACCAAGGGAGAGCUGGAUGUGGGUCCUGAAAAACAGGUAGGGUUAUCGUUAACGGAAUCACCUAAAAAGUCCCGGUAUGUCUGUGUUUCUCGCUGUCUUGGUGUGUUUAUCCUUCAAAAGCUAGCUAUGCCUCCGUCGAUGCCCAUGGGAUUUUUAGUGCGUAGUUAUGUACACGCGGCACGAAUGCCACCACUUGAUCGGGACUGAGAUGGAGGCCGGAUUGCUAGUCGAGCUCCUGACGAGCCAAGCUCUCCUACUACAUAGUACUUCGGACCCACUUAACGGUGUCUGUGGGCUCGGCAGCCGAAUUAAGGUUCUGCUUGAGAAGGCCGCUCUGUACUUAUGCUGCUAAGGCAGCUGUGUGCUCUUCUGUACGAAGGGAGCGUUCCAUAUUUCCGUUGACCAUUAUGACGUCGCGUGGACCGGGCAUAUUGAGCUUGAGAUAAGCAUAGUGUGGUACUGCGUUGAAUCGAGCAAAUGCAGUUCAUCCGAGCAGUGCGUGAUAGCCGCUUCAGAAGGGGAUGAUGUCGAAGAUUAACUCCUCGCUUUGGAAGUUGUCCGGAGAUCCGAAGACAACCUCUAGUGUGAUUGAGCCCAUAUAGCAGGCCUCUACACCUGGUAUGACUCCUUUGAAGGUAGUCCUGGUGCGCUUAAUCCGUGAUGGGUUAGUGCCCAUUUUUCGCGCUGUAUCCUGAUAGAGCAGAUUGAGACUGCUACCUCCGUCCAUAAGGAUGCGAGUCAGGUGGAACCCAUCCAUUAUUGGGUCUAGGACCAAUGCGGCCGAGCCACCGUGACAGAUACUGGUCGGAUGAUCCCGACGAUCAAAAGUGAUCGGGCAUGACGACCAUGGACUAAAUUUUGGGGCGACUGGCUCUAUCGCAUAGACGUUCCUGAGCGCACGCUUGCGCUCCCUCUUGGGGAUGUGGGUAGCGUAUAUCAUGUUCACUGAGGGAGUCCUGGAUUAGGGGGUAUCCGGAUGGCCGGACUAUACCUUCAGCCGGACUCCUGGAUUAUGAAGAUACAAGAUUGAAGACUUCAUCGCAUGUCCGGAAGGGACUUUCCUUGGCGUGGAAGGCAAGCUUGGCGAUACGGAUAUUCAGAUCUCCUAUCAUUAUAACCGACUUUGUGUAACCCUAACCCUCUCCGAUGUCUAUAUAAACCGGAGGGUUUUAUCCGUAGGACGACAUAAACAUCAACAAUCAUUCCAUAGGCUAGCUUCUAGGGUUUAGCCUCUCUGAUCUCGUGGUAGAUCUACUCUUGUAGUACCCAUAUCAUCAAUGUUAAUCAAGUAGGACGUAGGGUUUUACCUCCAUCGAGAGGGCCCGAACCUGGGUAAAACUUCGUGUCCCUUGCCUCCUGUUACCAUCCGGCCUAGAUGCACAGUUCGGGACCCCCUACCCGAGAUCCGCCGGUUUUGACACCGACAUUGGUGCUUUCAUUGAGAGUUCCUCUGUGUCGUCGCCGUUAGGCUCGAUGGCUUCUACGAUCAUCAACAGCGAUGCAGUCCAGGGUGAGACCUUCCUCCCCGGACAGAUCUUCGUCUUCGGCGGCUUCGCACUGCGGGCCAAUUCACUUGGCCAUCUGGAGCAGAUCGAAAGCUACUCCCCUGGCCAUCAGGUCAGAUUCGGAAGCUUAAACUACACGACUGACAUCCGCGGGGACUUGAUCUUCGACGAAGUCGAGCCACUGCCGAGCACGCCGCACUGUGCCGAUGAGCAUGAUCUAGCUCUGCCGCCGAACAGUGCCCUGGAGGCCGCACCCGCAUCAGCUUCAACCCUUAAUUCGGAGCCAACUGCGCUGAUCGAGGAUGGGCGGUUGGAUGCCACAUCGGGGGCUGCGAUCCCAAUGGUGAUCGAGCCGAACACCAGCCCCGUACUCUGUGAGACUCGUGACUCCAAGGAGCUGGACUCCUCUCUAAACUCCGUACCCUCCGCGCCACUGCCAAUCGAAUCUGAUUGGGCGCCGAUCAUGGAGUUCACUGCCGCAGACAUCUUUCAGUACUCGCCUUUCGGUGAUAUCCUGAAGACACUGAAGUCUCUCUCUUUAUUAGGAGAGCCCUGGCCAGACUGCGGCCAGCAAGGUUGGGGCACGGAUGAUGAAGAAAUUCAAAGCCCACCCACCACCCACUUUGUAGCCAUUGUCGACGACUUAACCGACAUGCUCGACUUUGACUCUGAAGACAUCGACGGUAUGGACGCCGAUGAAGGAGAUGAUGAAGAACCAGUGCCUACUAGACCCUGGAAAGCCACCUCAUCAUAUGACAUAUACAUGGUGGACACCCUAAAAGAGGGAGAUGGCAAUGGAACAGCGGAGGAUGACCCCUCCAAGAAACAGCCUAAGCGCCGGCGUCAGCGGCGCCACUCAAAAUCCCGCCAACACAAAAACGGUGAUUCCAGCACGGGAGAUAAUAAUACUCCAGAGAGCGCCGAAGAAAACCCCCUCUAGCAAGAUUCAGCAUAGGAGGAUGGAGAAACCAUCCCUCAUGAGAGAGCGGCAGACAGAGAGGUCGAGGACGAUAAUUAUAUGCCACCCUCCGGAGACGAUGCAAGCUUCGACGACGACGAAUUCGUCGUGCCAGAGGAUCCCGUUGAGCAAGAGCGUUUUCAACGCAGGCUUAUGGCCACGGCAAGAAGCCUCAAGAAAAAACAGCAACAACUCACAACUGAUCAAGAUUUGCUGGUUGACAGAUGGACUGAAGUCCUUGCGGCCGAAGAGCAUAAACUCGAACGCCCCUCCAAGAGCUACCCAAAGCACAGGUUGCUACCCCGAUUAGAGGAGGAAGCACUUGAUGCGGCCGAACGGCCACCUCGUGGCCGCGACAGAGAGGCCUCCCGGCCCUCCACUCAAGCCGCACCCCAAACCAAGGCACGGGAAUAUGCGCCGGACUUAUGAGACAUGUUGGAGGACAAGGCAAGGCAAACACGAUCGAUCUACGGAUCGCGUGGGCACCCCACGGCUCGAGAUGGUAACCGUCACGCCGGCCUCAAAUUCGGCAGGGCCGAACACAGUAGACAAAGCUCAUUGGAGCUAUGUCAUGAUAUCGCCCAGUAUAGAGGCGCCGCACACCCACUAUGCAUUACAGACGAAAUAAUGGAUCAUCAAAUCCCCGAGGGUUUCAAACCCGUAAACAUCGAAUCAUAUGAUGGCACAACAGAUCCUGCGGUAUGGAUUGAGGAUUAUCUCCUUCAUAUCCACAUGGCCUGCGGCGACGAUUUCCACGCCAUCAAAUACCUCCCACUCAAGCUUAAAGGACCAGCUCGGCAUUGGCUUAACAGCUUGCCAACAGGAUCAAUCAGUUGUUGGGAGGACCUGGAAGCCACAUUCCUCGACAAUUUCCAGGGCACUUAUGUGCGACCCCCAGACUCCGAUGACCUAAGUCACGUAAUUCAGCAGCCAGAGGAAUUGGCCAGACAAUUCUAGACACGGUUCCUAACAAAGAAAAAUCAAAUAGUCGACUGUCCGGACGCUGAGGCCCUAGCAGCCUUCAAGCACAAUAUCCGUGACGAGUGGCUGGCCCGGCACCUCGGACAGGAAAAGCCGAAAUCUAUGGCAGCACUCACGACACUCAUGACCCGCUUUUGCGCAGGAGAAGACAGUUGGCUUGCUCGUAGCAACAAUAUGACCAAGAACCCUGGUAAUUCGGACACCAGGGACAUUAGUGGCAGGUCGCGUCGCAACAAGCAGAAGCGUCGCAUUAACGGCGACAAUGCUGAGGAUACGGCAGUUAAUGCCGGAUUCAGAGGCUCUAAAUCCGGUCAGCGGAAAAAGCCAUUCAAAAGGAAUCCUAGGGGCCCGUCCAUCUUGGACCGAAUACUCGACCGCUUGUGCCAAAUACAUGGCACCCCCGAAAAGCCGGCCAAUCACACCAACAGGGAUUGUUGGGUGUUCAAGCAGGCAGGCAAGUUAAACGCUGACAAUGAAGACAAGGGGCUGCAUAGCGAUGACGACGAGGAGCCCCGGCCGCCGAACAACAAUGGACAGAAGGGUUUUCCCCCACAAGUGCGGACGGUGAACAUGAUAUACGCAACCCACGUCCCCAAAAGGGAGCGGAAGCACGCGUUACGGGACGUAUACGCGGUAGAGCCAGUCGCCCCAAAGUUCAACCCAUGGUCCUCCUGCCCGAUCACCUUUGAUUAAAGAGACCAUCCCACCAGCAUCCGUCAUGGCGGAUUUGCCGCAUUGGUUCUAGACCCAAUUAUUGACAGAUUUCAUCUCACUAGAGUCCUUAUGGAUGGCGGCAGCAGCCUGAACCUGCUUUACCAGGACACAGUGCGGCAAAUGGGCAUAGAUCCCUCGAGGAUUAAGCCCACCAAAACGACCUUUAAAGGCGUAAUACCAGGUGUAGAGGCCAACUGUACAGGCUCAGUCACACUUGAAGUGGUCUUCGGAUCUCCGGAUAAUUUCCGAAGCGAGGAGUUGAUCUUCGACAUAGUCCCAUUCCGUUGUGGCUAUCAUGCACUGCUCGGACGAAUCGCAUUCGCCAAGUUCAAUGCGGUACCGCACUACGCAUACCUUAAGCUCAAGAUGCCAGGCCCUCGUGGAGUAAUUACGGUCAAUGGAAACACCGACCGCUCCCUCCGAAUGGAGGAGCACACUGCGGCCCUUGCAGCGGAAGUACAAAGCAGCCUCUCCAGGCAGUUCUCCAGUCCGGCCAUUAAACGUCCGGACACCGUCAAGUGCACCCAGAGUAACCCACAACAAGACCGCCUGGCACGUUUCGAGGAGGCGUAGCAAUGCGGCCCCAACCCCAACCCUCGCAAAAAGGCGACGCCAGUACUUCGCGUACAUAACUACUCUCUAGAAAUACCAUGGGCAUAGGGGGAGGGGCACCAUUACGGCACGCCCACAACACGGCUUAAACCGCACCAGGGGCUGCCGAUUUUUUUAUUUUCUCUUACUUUCAGGACUCUACUCUUCGGAAGGCCUGUUCGGCAGUUCAAUUGCCGCACAAACGAUGCAAGAACCAGGGAAGCAGAUAAGCCAUGCCGCAUUACGGAACUCCCAGGUGGUCUCUAUCAUGAGCAGUAUACCUGUUUCGCAUACUAUUCCGCAGCUUGCCCCUGGAGCAGACAUGUUAAAUAGUCCAACUUUUUGUUUAUCGCAUUACUUGUAUCAUUCUGCUUCGAUCGCAGCUAUUUUUAAUAAACAAUGCAUAGCUUUUGUCUAUUUUUGCAUUACCUUUUUAUAAAUAAAUGUUCCUUAAUGACAUGUUGCACCCGUACAAUUUGGUACGGCCAAAAUACGCCAGGGGCUUUUAGCACCCCUCAAUAUGGUGUGAGAAGUCUGAACACUUUCACAAGUGCGGCACCCCGAACUUAUAGCAUUAUAUGCAUCGGCUCCGAAUCAUGUCUUGGGUCAAUAGUUGGGAUUGCCCGGCUCCUAUGUUUUGGUGCCUUACGUUCCGCUAUAUCAGCUAAGGUAGCACUAGGAGAACCACUGCAAUUGUGCCCCAGUUGAGUUGGGCCGAGCACCUCAAUGGAGAAAGCUAAAACUGACUGUCAUGAUGAAGCGAGAGCUGGUCGCUAUCCGAGAGGUUUUUUUGAGUCCCUAAAGACUUAUGCCGCUUAGGGCGAGGAGUCGGCUCUGUCCGGCCAAGGCAUGGAUAGUGCCCCGAACUCGGUCUUUCGAAUACUAGGGACUUCGCCAAAAUUUAAAAUUAUAGAAUUCUAUGGCUAAGUGAGAGUAUUCACGCAUUAUAGUCCAUUUGCCUUGUUCGUUGGGCUGAGCGCCUCCCUCGAAGAACCCAAAAAUGGGAAAAAGAGCGCCCAGGUUUAUCCCCGAACACCCCAGCACUAGCGGCACGGGGGCAAAAGCCGACGUCUCGCCAUCUCUCAGUAUUGAUAAACAGCCGCACAAAAGGUAAUAUUUUAAAUUCCAACAGCAUUGCUUAGCGCAUAUGAACAAGUUUUCAGCGCACAGGAUAACACGAGCGAGUUUUACUCAAAAAAUACAUCCUUGGUACAUUCAUCCGCCACAAGGCAGGCACCCUUCAGAACAUCCUUGUAAUAAUUCUCGGGCUUGCGAUGCUCCUUCCCCGGCGGUGGCCCGUCCUUCACAAGCUUCUCAGCAUCCAGCUUGCCCCAGUGCACCUUAGCACGGGCAAGGGCCCUACAGGCACCUUCAAUGCAGACGGAGCGCUUGAUGUCUUCGAGCCUCGGACAUGCCCCCACCAGCCGCCGCACCAGCCCGAAAUAGCUCCCAGGCAGAGCCUCUCCAGGCCAUAGCCGAACUACGAGGCCCUUCAUGGCCUGUUCGGCCGCCUUGUGUAGCUUGACCAGUUGCUUCAGCUGGUCGCUCAGGGGCACGGGGUGUCCGGCCUCAGCAUACUGAGACCAGAACACCUUGUCUGUCGAGCAGCCCUCCUCGGCCCGAUAGAAUGCGGUGGCAUCGGACACACUCCAGGGAAGAUCUGCGAACGCUCCUGGAGAGCGCCGGAUUCGGGUAAAGUAACAAGUAACUCACGUUUAUAUAUUUGCUUUGCAUGAAGAAUGCCUUACCCGCCGCUAUCUUCUUCACCUCAUCCAACUCCUGGAGGGUCUUCUGGGAUUCGGUCUUGGCAGACUUGGCAUUUUCAAUAGCCGCCGCGAGCUCGGACGCUCGCGUCUUUGAGUCAAGCUCCAAACUCUCAUGUUUUUCCAUGAGAACCUGGAGCUCUUGCCGCACCUUGCCAACCUCGGCCUCAUACUUCUCCCGCUCGGUGCGCUCCGCGGCCGCACUCUUCUCGGCCUCGAGCAGCGCUUGCUUAAGGGUUGCCACCUAAGACGUGGCCCCUACAAUAGCCACGUUAAUCCUGUCAUUUUUUGCAAUUGCACCUUUUUAUAUAUAUUCAAACAAGGUAUUUCUUACCUUCCUUCUCCUAGAGCUGCUUCUUGGCACGCCCGAGCUCUUGCUCGGACUUCUCAAGGCUCUGCUUCAGCGUGUCCACUUCCGCGGUCAGUGCAGCGGGCGCCAGCAGAGAAGCCUGCAUACGCAUAUUGACUACUUUGAUUAGACUCCUGCGAAUUCUUUGAUCCUCUAUUCGGCUUUUCUUCCCGAACGCCCAACAGAGCAUCAGGGGCUACUGUCUAUGCGGUAAUAUUAUUUACACAUAAUUUACUUACCUCAAAGCCUGUCAAAAGGCUAGUACAAGCUUCAAUCAGUCCGCUCUUGGCGGACUGAACCUUCUGGACCACCACACUCAUAAUAGUGCGGUGCUCCUCGUCGAUGGAGGCGCCUUGGAGCACCUCCAACAUAUUGUCUGGCGCCUCCGGUUGGACGGGGGCCACCGACACGAUGGACUUGCUCCUCUUGGAAGGAGGUCCCCCGCCGGACUCUGGAACCUUUGAAGGUUCCGGAACAGUGUCCGGCCUAGAACCGGACUUGGAGCCCUGGGGGGUUUCAUCCCCUUUACUCCUGGAGUCCGGGAGGUCGCCUUGCGGCGCCUCCAGGACCACCUCCUCCCUGCUUGGAACCUAUUGAGACAACACUUCGGUGUCGUCCGCAGUGCGGGGGGAGGAAGCCGUCGGAAGCGAGUUCACAUCCGACGAGUCUAGUGAGCCGCUCGACGACGCAUCGAGCCGGUCCUUGGGUGGGCUGCAUAAACAUAUUCGACAUAAGGGAAAACUAUGCAAUAAACGAAUACGAUGAAUUACUCUGGUAUCCGGAUACUCACAAUUUCGCCAGGGGCUUGGCCCUAGGCUGCCACUCCCCUCCGCCGUCGUCGCCGUCGGUCGAGUAGUCCGGAGGAAGGGUUUUCCCCUUCUUGGACCCUCCGGCCUCCCCAGAGAGGGCGGCCUUCCUUUUCUUCUCUCCUCCCACUGGAGGGGGAGAGGUUUCUUCUUCUUCCUCCUCGUCUUCACGAGGGGAAUGGGCUUCGGAACCGUCGGGUGAUGAAUCCGACACCUCCUGGCACCGGGCACUCUUUUGAGUCCCCGUGGCCCUUUUCGCGGCCUUCUUCUCCGGCACCACAUAGGGUGCCGGAACCAUGAGCUUCGCCAAGCGAGCGUCCGCUGGGCCUUCGGGCAAAGGAGCCGGACAGUUGAUCUGUCCGGACGUCACCUGCCAAUCCUGUCAAAGGUAAGGGAGCUUAGAUCCCGCAUGGAGUUAAACUAUGAAAAACUGAUACCCUGUAAAAGGACAAACAUAGCUUACCGCGAGAGCGUGACGCUGCGCACUGAAUCCGUGAUCCUCGGUAGCGGAUGCGGGAGCCUCGGCACCCUUGAAAAGCAUCCUCCAGGCAUCUUCGUACGUCAUGUCGAAGAGCCUGUUCAGAGUUCGGUGAUGCGCCGGGUCGAACUCCCACAUGUUGAAGGCCCGUUGUUGACACGGGAGGAUCAGGCGGAUGAGCAUAACCUGGACUACGUUGACAAGCUUGAGCUUCUUGUCUGCCAGGGUUUGGAUGCAUGUUUGGAGUCCGGUCAGCUCUCCUUUUUUACCCCAAGAUAGGCCCGUCUCCUUCCAGGAGGUGAGCCGCAUAGGGGGACCAGAUCGAAACUCAGGGGGUGCAACCCAUUCGGCGUCACGCGGCUCAGUGAUGUAAAACCACCACAAUUGCCACCCCUUUAGGGUCUCCACAAAGGAGCCCUCGUGCCACAGGACGUUGGCCGUCUUGCCCACCAUGGCACCUCCGCACUCCGCCUGGCUGCCGCGCACCACCUUCGGCUUGACGUUGAAAGUCUUGAGCCAUAGGCAGAAAUGGGGGCGGAUGCGGAGGAAAGACUCGCACACGACGAUAAACACCGAGAUGUUGAGGACGAAGUUCGGGGCCAGAUCGUGGAAAUCCAGGCCGUAGUAGAACAUGAGCCCCCGGACAAAUGGAUGCAGAGGGAAGCCCAGUCCGCGAAGGAAAUGGAGGAGGAAUACCACCCUCUCAUGGGGCCUAGUGGUGGGGAUGAGCUGCCCCUUUUCGGGAAGCUGGUGCGCGAUGUCGUUAGACAGCUAUCCGGCCUUCCUCAGCUUUUUUAUGUGUCCCUCCGUGACGGAGGAGACCAUCCACUUGCCUCCCGCUCCGGACAUGACUGGAGAAGGUUGAGGUGGGAGUGCGGACUUGGGCGCUGGAGCUCGAGUGCGCAAGAAUGGAUAGACAAAGGAGGAAGAAGGCGUGGGUGAAAAGUUGGAUCCUUAUCCCCUUAUAUGGGUGGACGCAACUACAUGUCCCCACCAGCCUGGUAAAACUCGCUUAUCUCCAAGCGUCGUAAUUAGAGGCGCGGUUGGGUUACCCAUGCCCGUAUUGAUGAGAAUCCCAGAAUAAGGGGACACGAUCUCUGCUUUGACAAUACGUGCCGAGGAAACCGCCUCGCAUGACGCACUGAGGUGGGAUAAUGAAACGACUCGGAUAAAGGCUUGGCCGUGGUGUGUCACACUACGGGAUACAUCAGCAGAUUAGAUUUGUGUAAAUAUUAUUCUCUCUAUGGCAAUAUGUGGAAAACUUAUUUUGCAGAGCCGGACACUAUCUUUGUGUUUAAAAUCUUCUAUGAAGUACUUGGAGGAGGAACCCGCCUUGCAAUGCCGAAGACAAUCUGCGCGCCAGACUCGUCGUCAUUGAAGCCUAGUUCAGGGGCUACUGAGGGAGUCCUGGAUUAGGGGGCUACCGGAUGGCCGGACUAUACCUACAGCCGGACUCCUGGAUUAUGAAGAUACAAGAUUGAAGACUUCGUCCCGUGUCCGGAAGGGACUUUCCUUGGCAUGGAAGGCAAGCUUGGCGAUACGGAUAUUCAGAUCUCCUACCAUUGUAAUCGACUUUGUGUAACCCUAACCCUCUCCGGUGUCUAUAUAAACUGGAGGGUUUUAGUCCGUAGGACGACAUACACAUCAACAAUCAUUCCAUAGGCUAGCUUCUAGGUUUAGCCUCUCUGAUCUCGUGGUAGAUCUACUCUUGUACUACCCAUAUCAUCAAUAUUAAUCAAGCAGGAUGUAGGGUUUUACCUCCAUCGAGAGGGCCCGAACCUGGGUAAAACUUCGUGUCCCUUGCCUCCUGUUACCAUCCGGCCUAGACGCACAGUUCGGGACCCCCUACUCGAGAUUCACCUGAGGGGGAAACUUCUUCUGUCCCCUUGUAUUUGGUUGCUGGGGCUCUUCGUCAUCAUCCUCGCUUUGUGAUCCCUUUUCCCUGUUCUCGGCGUUUAAUUUGCUGGCAUGUUUAAAAACCCAGCAAUCUCUAUUUGUAUGAUUGGGUGGUUUGUCCGGGGUGCCAUGAAUCUGGCACGGAUGAUCAAGUAUGCGGUCCAAGCUGGAUGGGCCUGAAUUGUUCUUUUGGAACGGCUUCUUCCGCUGACCGGACUUAGAGCCACUGAAUUCGGCAUUGACUGUUGUGUCCUCGGUGUUGUCAUUGUUGUUUCGACGCUUGUAUCUAUUGCGUCGAGACUUGUCUUUGUUAUUUUUAACUUCAGGGGUGCCGGCUUCACUUGCAUUGUUUUUGCUACGGGCCAACCAACUGUCCUCGCCCGCACAAAAGUGGGGCAUGAGUGCCGUAAGGGCCGCCAUGGAUUUUGGCUUUUCUUGGCCGAGGUGGCGAGCGAGCCAUUCGUCGCAAAUGUUGUGUUUGAAGGCUGCUAGGGCUUCAGCAUCUGGACAAUCGACGAUUUGGUUCUUUUAGUUAAGAACCUAGUCCAGAAUUUCCUGGCGAGCUCUCCAGGUUGUUGAACUAUGUGGCUUAAGUCAUCGACGUCUGGUAGCUGGACAUAUGUACCUUGGAAGUUGUCGAGGAAGGCUUCUUCCAAGUCCUCCCAGCUACAGAUAGAAUUUUCACGCAGGCUGUUUAACCAGUGCUGUCUGACCCCUUGAGUUUUAAAGGGAGGUAUUUGAUGGCGUGGAGGUCAUCACCACGAGCCAUAUGAAUGUGGAGAAUGAAGUCUUCGAUCCACACCGCGGGGUCCGUGGUUCCAUCGUAUGAUUCUAUAUUCACGGGUUUAAACCCUUCUGGGAAUUCAUGAUCCAUGACCUCAUUAGUGAAGCAAUGAGGGUGUGCGGCGCCUCUAUAUCGGGCCGUAUCGCGACAUAGCUCUGAUGGAGUCCGUCUGCGGUUUUCAGCCCGUGCAUGACUAAGUUUGUCACGUCCGAAUAGGUGGCCGUCGUCGCGUGUCGAGGCACAUCCUCGAGAUCCGUAGAUUGAUCUAGUAUGUCCUACUUUAUUGUUUAGGUUUUGCUGGAUGUCAUAUGUAUGGCCGUGGGCUAAUUUACCCCUACCUGUGCGAUGAGGCGGGGUGGGCUGGUGUUUGGCGUGAGUUGCCGUUUUCUCCCGACCACUUGGUGGUCCGUCAGCAGCAUUGUAUGAUGGUGGUAUGUAUUCCGGCGCCUCCUCAUCAAACUGAGGUAGCAAUUUGCGCUUUGGGUAGCUUUUGGUUGGGCGCUUGAGGCUGUAUUCUUCGGCUGCUAGGACGUCAGUCCAUUUAUCAUUGAGAAGAUCUUGAUCAGCUUGAAGCUACUGCUUCUUCUUUUUCAGGCUCCUUGCAGUGGCUAUUAGCUGGCGCUUGAAGCGCUCCUGCUCAAGAGGUUCCUCAGGCAUGAUGAAAUAGUCGGUGCUGAAGCUCACCUCAUCCUCGGAGAGGGGAAGAUAACUUCCAUCCUCUGAGUCUUCAUGCGUGGCCUGUUUACCAAGGCUAACCUGCCCAUCUCCCCGUUCAUCUUGUUCAUUAGUUGUUUCAACGGGGUCUUCGUUGUCUUCGGCACCUUCUCUAGUGUUAUCUUCUCCUGUGCCGCUAUUGCUAUCUUUACUGCGGCGUGACUUAGAGCGGCGCCGCUGACGCCGGCGCUUGGAUUGUAUUUCAGAAGGUAUAUCCUCGACUGGAUCUUCCUUGUCAUCGCCGCUGUUCUCCUUUGGUGCAUCCACCAUGUAUACAUCAUACGAGGAAGUGGCCGUCCAGCGUCCGGUGAAUGGCGGGUUCUGGGCCUCUUCUUCUCCGGCAUCGUCGUCCAUACUGUUGAUGCCCUCGGAGUCGUAAUCAUGUGUGUCUGUUAAAUCCUCGACUGUGGCUAUGAAGUGGGUGGCGGGUGGGGAGCAAAAUUCUCCAUCGUCAGCCCCUAGUUCGAACCGGAUAUAGUUCAGUUUUGAUUCCUCCAUCAAGGCAGGUUCUUUAAUGAGUUUAGCAUGUUGCCCAAAGGUGAGUGCUAGAAGAUGUCUGCGGCGCUGAAUUCGAAGAUCGAUAAACGAUCAAGUUCGGCGUCCGCGGGCUCACAUGGUUUGGAACUUACGGCCGGAAACGAGUCCGGAGUUCCGGUGGCACAGGUAUCGUGUGAGAUCAAGUCUAUGUGCGGCUCCAAUGCCGCAGAAUCUCUGGCCUCCGCGGUGGGGUCGAUCCUCCCAUCCUUGGAUGGCGAAGUCUACUCUGGAUCUAAGGUCAGAGCGGUUAUGGGAGCUGUGUCCUGGAUGCAGUCCGAUGACAGAUUUAGGUCAUGUCCCUCGAGGUGACAAGGAGUGGUAGUCGUGGUCUCGAAUCUAGCGAGGAUCAAGUCUCCAUGGAUGUCUGCAACGUAGUUCAAGCUCCCCAAUCUAACCUGAUGGCCAAGGGUGUAGCUUUCGAUCUGCUCCAGAUGGCCAAGUGAGUUGGCCCGCAGAGCAAGGCCGCCGAACAUGAAGAUCUGCCCGGGGAGGAAAACUCCCCCUUGGGCAUCAUCGUUGUAGAUGGUUGAAGGAACCAUCGAACCUCUUGAUGACAGCACAGUGGAACUCUCAAUGAAAGCACCAAUGUCGGUGUCAAAACCGGCGGAUCUCGGGUAGGGGGUCCUGAAAUGUGCGUCUAAGGUCGGUGGUAACAGGAUACAGGGGACACAAUGUUUUACCCAGGUUCGGUCCCUCUCUAUGUAGGUAAUACCCUAUGUCCUGCUUGAUUGAUCUUGAGGAAUAUUAGUAUUACAAGAGUUAAUCUACCACGAGAUCGUAACGGCUAAACCCUAGAGGUCUAGCAUGUAUGGUUAUGAUAGUGUCUCUCACUCUGGACUAAGUCCUCCGGUUUAUAUAGACACCAGGAGGAUCUAGGGUUACAGAAGGUUGCUUACAAAGAAAGGAAUAUACAUAUUUAGUCGCCAAGCUUGCCUUCGACACCAAGGAGAGUACCAUCCGGACAUGGGUGCGAUCUCUGGUCUUCAUAUCUUCACAGCCCAUCAGUCCGGCCCAUGGUUAACAAGCCGGAUGCCCAAAGACCCCUUAGUCCAAGACUCCCUCAGCAGGUAGUCGCCUGGUUGUUCCACCGGUCAUAGGCGGGCGUCUUAGUCGCACUCGAUGGUGAUGUGCGUCCGGCUGCAACUGGCAGCCGGCUCCUUGUCCCGUCGUCCGCGGUCGCCGCUAGUCGGUGUCCGGGACGUCGUCCCAUGCUCCUGGCAGGGUGGCGGGUCAUUUUGCGCCGAUUGAGUUCCUCGACGCGGCAGCCGGCUUCUUGCUGCUUGGCAGCGGCAUCAAUGAGCUGCUGGAUGGGCUCCGUCAUGUGGCGACACUCGUCGCCCUUGAGGUUGUCCAGCUCGUCUGCUGCCGCUUGGGCAGCUCGUAUGUUCUCUCUGGGCGUGGCGUAGACGGGGCGAUCAGCCCCGAACAUGCUAGCAACGGUCGCGUCGCGCUGCCGGACCUAGCCGAUGCGGCUGCGUCUGCCAGGAGUCGGCGUGCCGCCAACUGCGUUGUUCAUUUCGUGCUGGUAAGCCUCCGAAAGGCGUCUCAUGCUGGCUAGCUUCUUGGCGCUCUCGACAAGCUGGAUGCGGCGGGCUUCCGGCAUCUCGGUGUCAGCAUCUUCUGCGAUGGGUGCAGAUAGGUCUUGCAGUGCUUCCUCGAGCGGGUCUCGCGCACCGUUACCGGGAACUCCAUCAUGGCUGAUGACGAGCACCUCUAUGACGGUGCUGCCACCGCUGUCGUCGCGGGGGACAGGAUCAUCAAUAACCACCAUGUUGGUAGGGAACGCGUCGAGUGAUGCCGUGUCGGAGUCGACGAGCAUCGGGUCAGUGGAGCCAACCGACUCCAAGUCGACGGCCGGCUCGUCGGCGACGUUCAGCCGGUCGAGGAAGCUGACGAGGCGGCUCCCGGUGCCGUCAGCGCCUGUGUCGGAUGCAGGCCCGUCGGAGAGGUGGAUCUCGCUAACAAGGUGAGCGAGGCAGCUUGCCGCGCAGGCGACCUCCGCCACAAGCAACGCAUCAGUGCAAACGCCAUCCGGUGUGCCUGGCUGGCUGCGCUCGGCAGGGAGGAAGAGGGUUCCUGUCCAGAACAGAUCUCUGGACGACGUUGCACCUUGCCCCACGGUGGGCGCCAAAUGUCGUGGGGUUGGGUGCGACAUAUGCCAAAGGAUGGCUUAUCAUGGUGGGAUCUAGUAGAACGUUGCUGGUGCCCGGAAGCAGGAUGAGGCGUAGACACGAACGCUGGCGUACUUUACCGUGGUUCAGGGCUCUCCUAGGAGAUAAUACCCCUAGUCCUGCUCAGCGGGGUCUCCGCAUGAUCACUAAGGCACUAGUGAGUACGUUGGUGCACCUCGAGCUAUAUGCUAGAGGUAGGAGAAAGUAGGGCUAGUUCUCUCCUCUCUCUGAAUGUGUCUAGGUCUAACAGGUUGGGAACCCUUUGCAUGGGUGCUCUGGGGGGCUUAUAUAGGCCUACCCCUAGGGAUACAAUGGUAAUCCAGCCGGGUGUAGGACCCCGUUGUCAGUGUCUCUGGUCGCCGGCUUCUCCGCCGGCUGUGGGGGCCCACCGCCUGGUGGGCCCCAUACACCGGUCUAGUAUGGGGCCGACGGGCCGCUCCCGCCCCUCGCGGGUUCUGCCGGCUGCUUGUUACUAUUAUCGUAAUGCUUAUAACGCACACUUGGUCGGGGAGGCGUGGCUACAGUCCCACCAUCUGGUGGGAGAUCACUAUAGCCACUCCGUGUCUCAUCUGGUUAACGGUGCACGGACUCCGAGGGAGGAGUGGGCCGUCUGCUAGAGGCCAGCCUCCCUCGGGUCUAUCUGGUCAGGCUCCGCCAUCUUCCGGGUUCUCGCUGCCUGGUAGGGCCCACCGCCUGCAGGCUGUACCUACAGGCCGUCGUGGGAGCAGGGCUCCGCCUGACAGGGGUGACGUCAAGGGUGGAGUGGAAAUAGUGUCACGCCGUGCGGAGAUCUCCGCCUGUAUGGGGCACUGUGGUCGCGCCGUGCCCUAGAUAUGGAGAUGAUGGGCUACACUGUAGCCACAUCCUAUUUUGUCUUCUUAAUGGGGGCAGACUUUGUGGGCUUCAUGGGCCGCCUACUAGGAGCUGGCCUCUCUAGAGGCCGCCUGCUAGGAGUUGGCCCGUCUUGGGGCCGUCUUCAGGUGUGUGGCCGUGUUCUGGCAGCCAGCCGCUUGAUCCAGCCGGCCACCAGAAGGCGGUGCUCCAUCCUGGGCGUUUGAGGGGCGUAUCCGGCCCCGAUUUCUUGAAAUGCUUGGGGACUCAGGUUAGGAUACCCGUGGCCCAUUACUCUGACGCAUCAUGGAGAGAAUAGUGAGAGAGCGAACCACCAAAAAGAGAGUGAGCGCUACAAGCCCAACUCGAGUGCCUCCAUGAUGAGCGAGAAGAAGAACUUAGUUCUCUUUGUUACCAAAAGUGAGAUAAGAGGAGUGUGUGAGAACCCAUCUAGUGUCCUACUCUAUGUCCUUUUGUGCAAGGACGAUGCACCAAAAGCUAACACCUCUCACGCUCUACCUUUAGUGUUGUCUUCUCUUUUGCAGGAAUUUCAAGAUGUUUUCCCCGACGAGCUACCUCCGGGACUACCUCCACUACGAGGCAUCGAGCACCGCAUCGACCUCAUCCCCGGAGCACCUCUUUCGAACAAAGCUCCCUACCGUGUCAACCCCAAAGAAACCAAAGAAAUACAAAGGCAAGUAAAUCAUCUCAUAGACCAUGGACAUGUGCAUGAAAGUUUGAGUCCUUGUGCCGUUCCGGUCAUUCUUGUGCCAAAACGAGACGGUAGCUUUCGCAUGUGCUCCGAUUGUAGACCUAUUAAUGCUAUCACCAUUCACUAUAGGUAUCCCAUUCCACGCCUUGAUGAUAUGCUUAAUGAACUUAGUGGUGCCACUAUCUUUUCAAAAAUUGAUCUUAAAAGUGGUUACUAUCAAUUCCACAUAGAAGAUGGUGAUGAAUGGAAAACCGCUUUCAAAACAAAGUUUGGCUUGUAUGAGUGGUUAGUCAUGCCUAUGGGUCUAUCGGAAGCACCGGGUACUUUUAUGCAUCUUAUGAAUCAUGUCUUUUGCCCUUACAUUAGUGAGUUUGUUGUGGUAUACUUCUCUGAUAUACUUGUUUAUAGCAAAUCUCUUAAAGAUCAUGUCACCCAUGUUCGAACAGUUUUGCUAACUCCUCUAAAAGAGCAUCUCUAUGCUAACAUGGACAAGUCCCUUUUUGGCAUUGAUAAGCUCUUUUUCUUGGGUUUUGAUGUUUCCUCUAAGGGUGUUCAUGUUGAUGACUCUAAGAUCAAUGCUAUUAAAACUUGGCCCCAACCAACCAAUUUGCAACAAGUGCGUAGUUUCCUUGGUCUAGCCAGUUUCUAUCAUAGAUCUGUGAAGGACUUUAGCACCAUUGCUUCACCUUUGCAUGCUUUGAGCCAAAAAUGUGCCUUUGUUUGGCGACCAUCCCAAGAUACCGCUUUCAAUGAGCUGAAGAAUUUGCUUACUCAUGCUCCCAUGCUUGCAUUACCCAACUUUGACAAGCCCUUUGAGAUUCAUUGUGAUGCUAGUGGUAAUGGCAUAGGAGGUGUGUUAACGCAAGACAAGCGCCCCAUAGCUUACUUUAGUGAGAAACUUUCUGGAGCGCAACUCAAUUACCCCAUCUAUGACAAAGAGUUAUAUGCUUUAGUGCGAGUUUUGCAUGAAUCGGAACACUAUCUUCGCCCUCAUGAAUUCAUCAUUCAUACCGAUGAUGAAACGCUCAAAUACGUUAAGGGUCAAACCAAGUUGAAUAAGCGUCAUGCUAAAUGGAGUGAAUUCACUGAGUCUUUUCCUUAUGUCAUCAAGUACAUCAAAGGUAAGGAAAAUGUUGUGGCGGGUGAUCUUUCCCGCAUAUGCAUGCUUGUUACUCAACUUGAAUUGGAUGUCAUUAGCUUUGAGCACAUAAAAGACUUGUAUGAGCAUGAUCCUACUUUUUCUAUUCCUUAUGCCAAAUGUUUGACGCAUACCUCUUGGGAACGCUAUUACAUCAAAGAUGGAUAUCUUAUGAGAGCUAACAAGCUUUUCAUCCCUGAGACUUCUCUUCGAUUGUUGCUUUUGCAGGAAUCUCAUGGAGGAGGACUAAUGGGACAUUUUGGACGCGACAAGACUUUUGCUACGCUCUCCAAGAAUUACUAUUGGCCCAAGAUGUUUCGCGAUGCCAACCGCUUCACCAACCGAUGCUCUACAUGUCGCAAAGCUAAGUCUAACGCUCAAUCCCGUGGCCUUUACAUGCCUCUCCCUAUUCCAUAUCAACCAUGGGAAGAAUUUAGCAUGGAUUUUGUACUUGGAUUGCCUAGGACUAGAAAUGGAAAUGAUUCGGUAUUUGUCUUUGUGGACUGUUUCUCUAAGAUGGCACAUUUCAUUCCUUGCAACAAGAUGGAUGAUGCUUCACAUGUUGCCAAUCUCUUUUGUAGGGAAAUAUUGCGUCUACAUGGAGUGCCAAAGACGAUCAUCUCGGACCGCAACGUCAAGUUCCUAAGCUACUUUUGGUAGACCCUAUGCAACAAGCUUGGAAUCAAGCUACUCUUCUCCAUGGCGUAUCAUCCACAAACCGACGGUCAAACGGAGGUGACCAACCGCACACUGUCUGCUCUACUUUGCGUGCUCAUCAAGAAGAACAUCAAGGAGUGGGAGGAGUGUCUACCUAUCGCCGAGUUCGCCUACAACCGCGCAAGACACUCAACAACCGGCAAGUCACCCUUCGAGGUCGUCUACGGAUUCAACCGAUUGUCCCCAUUGGCCAUUCUUCCUCUACCACUACAAGAGUGCAUCAAUAUGGACACAAGUGCACGUGUGAACCAUCUCAAGAAAGUGCAUGAAGAUACAAGGCACACCAUCGAGCGCCAAGUACAACGAGUUGCGACCAAGCUCAACAUCAACAAGCAACCCAUGGUAUUCGGCAUUGGUGAUCUUGUGUGGCUACACCUUCGCAAAGACCACUUACCCACCGAACGCAAGUCCAAGCUUCUACCUCGAGAGGAUGGACCCUUCAAGGUGCUCGCACGCUACAACAACAACGCUUACAAGAUCAACCUCCCGCGCGACAAGUACAACGUGAGCGACAUCUUCAAUGUCAAGGACCUCUCUCCCUACAUGGUGAUGAAGAAUUUGAUCUGAGGUCGAAUCUUCCCCAAGGGAGGGGAGAUGAUGUGGAGCAUCCCAAGGUCAUCUCCAUGGACCUACCAUCGUCUCACCAAGUGCCUAGCGGACCCAUGACACGAGCACGUGCAAGAGCUCUCGAAACCGAGGUGAACUCACUCCUCUCCGAACUACCACUUUCUAUGCAUGAGACCUGGCUACUACCUCAAGCGGAAACCCUAUGUGUGAUUAGGAACUUGGAGGAAAGCCACGGACAAGACGGUGAGGACGCCAAGCUCAAUAGACAAGCAGAAGGGCAGCUCGAAGCUCCCAGGCUCCGGACGACCGGCGAAUCUCGGACGUUUGACGAUCUCUAGGAACCGGACGUCCGACCUUCUCCGGACAACCGACACACCCACACCUGAGCCAAAACUACGGAUUUCCGAAGCCCUCUGGACGACCGACGGCCCGGACGCCUGACCCUGACCGGACGUCUGACCGAAGACCACCCGAGCCGAAUCUACAGUCGUCCGACGAGCACCGGACGUCCGAACCCUUGUGAGUCUCCGGACGACCGGUAACUCCCGGACGUCCGACGCCUGUGUGCUUUUUGUGUGUUGGGACACAGCCCAUGUACCCUUUCGCCCACAUAUACUAUAUAUACUCUUCUCCUACCUACAUUUUAGGGUUAGCAUUGGUUUAGCUCAUACUUGAGAUAGAGCUUUGCUCAUCCACAUCGGAUCUACUCCAUGAGAGAAACCGUGGCCCCUCUUAGGAGAAGAUCCCUUUGGAUUCAAGAUCUCCUUGUGGAGAAGACAUCAAGACCUCCUCACGGAGAAGAUCGUGCUACUUGAAUCGUACUUAGUUGACCGUGGAUCAUGUGAUCUCUUAUGUACUCGGGGAUCUAGCAUAUGUGUGACUAUAUCUUGUUGGUUUAGUGUUUCUCUCAUGUUUCCCCUUGUGUUUCCCCUCGUGUUCUUCGUGUUCAUCGCGGGAUCCGCUCCUUUCAUGAAAGAUCGGCCCCUAAGGUUCCUACCCUACAUCAAUUUGCCUGGCAAUCAACAGGAUCACCCGCUUGAAAGCUAUCGGGCUAACCAUCGAGCAUGUGGGGGGCGAUUUUCUCCUUCGUUGCAUCUCGCCACUACAGAAGAGGGACAGACCCGCUGGUUAUAUGGCGAUGCUGGGGAUAGGAUGAGAUUGCUCCUAGGUUUGGCCAAUAACCUGUUGGUUUAUGGCCAUGCCUGGUUGUGUGAUCAGCUGUUUGGCCGGUUCGAGUUAUUCAAGCUGCCGGGGAGUGUCAUCCCCCUUAAUAUUAAUUCUGCCCGGGACCAAAUCUUGAAGUGGAUGCCGGAUUGCAAUGCUCAUGGGGUGGCAAGUGAUUGAUACGUCUCCAUCUUAUCUACUUUUCCAAACUCUUUUGCCCUUGUUUUGGACUCUAAUUUACAUGAUUUCAAUGGAAGUAACCCAGACUGACGUUGUUUUCAGCAGAAUUGUCAUGGUGUUAUUUUUGUGCAGAAAUAAAAGUUCUUAGAAUGACCUGAAACUUCAUGGAGAUCAGUUUUGGAAUAAAUAAAAAAUAUUGGCGAAAGAAUCAACCGAAGAGGGAUCACACCUUGGUCACAAGGGUGGAGGGAGAGGCCACCCCCUAAGGCGCGCCAUCUGUCCUUGUGGGGCCGCUAGACCUCGACCAACCUCAACUCCAACUCCAUAUAUUCACAUUCGAGGAGAAAAAAAAUCAGGGAGAAAGAUUCAUCGCGUUUUACGGUAUAAAGCCUCUGCCAAGCCCUGUUCUUCCUCGGGAGGGCAGAUCUGGAGUCCUCUUUGGGCUCUGGAGAGGGGGAAUCAUCGCCAUCGUCAUCAUCAACCAUCCUCCAUCACCAAUUUCAUGAUGCUCACUGCUAUGCAUGAGUAAUUCCAUUGUAGGCUUGCUGGACGGUGAUGGGUGAUAUGUCUCCAACGUAUCUAUAUUUUUUUGUUCCGUGUUGUUAUAUUAUCAUUCUUUGAUGUUUUACAAUCAUUUUAUAGCAACUUUAUAUCAUUUUUGGGACUAACCUAUUAACAUAGUUCCCAGUGCUAGUUGUUGUUUUUUCUUGUUUUUUACAUCGCAGAAAAUCAAUAUCAAAUGGAGUCCAAACGCAGCAAAACUUUUUGGAGAUUUUUUUGAACCAGAAGGCAUCCAAUGGGUCGAAGAAGUAACAGAGAGUGCCCUAAGGGGGGCACAACCCACCUGGGCGCGCCUGGAGGCCCAUGCGUGCCCUAGUGGGUUGUUCCCACCUCGGUGGCCUCCCGCACUGCCUCUUCGCCCUAUAAAUUCCCAAAUAUUCCAAAAACCCUUGGGGUAACCCUAGAUCAAAAUUUCUGCCGCCCCAAGGCUCUGUAGCCACAAGAAACCAAUCUAGACCCUGUUCCUGCACCCUACCGGAGGGGGAAUCAUCACCGGUGGCCAUCUUCAUCAUCUCGGCGGCCACCAUGAUGAGGAGGGAGUAGUCCACCCUUGGGGCUGAGGGUUUCUACCAGUAGCUAUGUGUUUAAUCUCUCUCUUUUGUGUUCUUGAGAUGUCACAAUCUUGAUGUAUCGCAGGCUUUGUGAAUAUAGUCAGAUCAUAUGGUGUUUUCCCCUCUCUAUAAUGUUGUGAUGAUUUGAGUUUUCCCUUUAAAUUUUCAUUUUAUCGGAUUCAAUACUUUUAUGGAUUUGAGAGCACUUGAUAUAUGUCUUGCAAAUGAAUAUGCGUGGUUACAUUAGGGUAUCAUAUUGAUUCACUUGAUGUAUGUUUGGCACUCAACUCGUGGAUUCCCGAGGUGACAUUGGGGUAAUCUUUGCAUAGGGAUUGAUGCACGUUCUUGUCUUUGUUUCUCCAAUAGAAAUCUUGGGGCACUCUUUGAGGUUCUUUGUGUUGGAUUGAGUAUUAUGAAUCUGAAAUUAUUUGGUGUUAUUUUAGUACGAACUCUUGGAUAGAUAAAUCGGAAAGAAUAGCUUCGAGGUGGUUUCGUGCCCUACGAACGAUGUCUUCUUAUGUUCUCCGCUAGAUAGGAACUUUGGAGUGAUUCUUCAUUACACUUUGAGGGAUGGUUAUAUGAUCCAAUUAUAUUAGCAUUGUUGAGAGAUUACACUAGUGAAAGUAUGGACCCUAGGCCUCAUUUUAAAGCAUUGCAAUACCAUUUUUAUCAAUUGCUACCUUGCUGUUUUUAUUGUUCUUAUUACAAAAAUCAAUAUCUACUAUCAUUACUACGCUUGUAUCACCCCCUCUCUUCGUCGAACUAGUGUGCCUAUACAAAUUACCAUUGUAUUUGGUGUGUUGUGGACACAAGAGACUUUUUAUUAUUUACUUGCAGGGUUGUUUGAGAGAGACCAUCUUCAUCCUACACCUCCCAUGGAUUGAUAAACCUUAGGUCAUCCACUUGAGGUAAAAUUGCUACUGUCCUACAAAACUCCGCGCUUGGAGGCCCAACACAAGUCUACAAGAACAAGUUGUGUAGUAGACAUCAAGCUCUUUUCUGGCGUUGUUGCCGGGGAGGUGAGUGCUUGAAGGUAUAUCUUUAGAUCUUGCAAUAGAAUCUUUUAGUUUCGUGUUUUAUCACUAGUUUGGUUUAUAAAAAUAAAAUUCCACAAAAAUGGAAUUGAGGUGGUCUCAUAUUAUUCGUCUUUAUAAUGUCUUUCAUAAAAAUGAUGGAAAGGAAAAUUGUACACAAUUGAUAGAAGAGGAAUUCUAUAAAAUGUUUGGCACAAAAUAUUUUAAUGAUGAGCAUGAUUGCAAUGUUGUUGGAAUGAAUUCUUUGAAUAUCCAUGAUGCUAAUGAUAUGCCAAGCCAUAAGCUUGGGGAUGCUAUAUUUGAUGAAGAUGAUAUUUUUAGUCCCCCAAGAUUUGAUGUGCAAAUUAGUUAUAAUAAUUGCAUGCCUCCUAUUUAUGAUGAUUAUAAUGAUGAAAGUUGAUUUGGAGAGGUCAUGAGUUUAUUUAGUGAUGAAUCCACCAUUUUGGAUGAGGCUUCAAUUGACUAUGAUAACAAAGUUGCUAUCUAUGAUGAUUAUGGUGAUGACAUGUAUGCAAUUUUGAAUAAUGAUAACCAUGAAACUUGUCAUCAUGAUCUUAAUUUUCAAUCCCAUGAUAGUUAUUUUGUUGAGUUUGCUCCCACUACUAUUGAUGAGAAGAAAUUUCGUUCUGUGGAGAGUAAUAAGUUUUCUAUGCUUUUGUGUCAUGAAAAGAAUGCUUUAUGUGAUGGUCAUAUUGUUUAAUAUCUUCAUGAUGCUACUAAAAAUUAUUAUGAGGGAAGAACUUAUGCUUAUAGGAAUUGCAAUAAUAUCAAGUUUCCUCUCUAUGUGUUGAAAAUCUUGAAGUUAUGUUUGGUUUACCUUCAUAUGCUAGUUGAUUCUUGUUCCCAUAAAUUGUUUGAUCACAAAAUCCCAAUGCAUAGGAAGUGGGUUAGACUUAAAUGUGGUUGACAUGUGCUUCAUGAUGCUCUCUUUGUGUUUCAAUUCUUUACUUUUAUGUGAGCACCAUUCAAAUCAUCAUGCCUAGCUAAAAGGCAUUAAAGAAAAGCGCUUGUUGGGAGACAACCCAACACUUUUACCUACUGUUUUUGUGUUAACACAAUUAGGAUACUAUAGUAAUCAUGUUUUAUAGCUUUUGUUUCAAUAAAGUGCCAAGUAAAGCCUUUGGGAUAGUGUGGAUAAUAGUUGACUUAAAUCUGUGCAAAAAUAGAAACUUUUGCGCUCAGUCCAGGAAUUUUCAAAUUCACUGGAACAUGCUUUUGAUAUGAAUUUUUUAUAGGUGAUAGAUAUAUAAAUUCCCUACAUUUUCCUAAUUUUUCAGAAUUUUUGGAGUAUUAUAAGUAUGGUUGUUUUCCAGAUCAUUACAGACUGUUCCGUUUUUGACAGAUUCUGUUUUCAAUGCAUAGUUUGCUUGUUUUCUAGUUUCUAUGGCUUAUAUUGCUCAAUAUAAAUUGUGGAAAUGAUAUGCCGCAGUAGGCAUUGUGUGGAAACAAUUAUGAAUCUUGUCUUUGUUAGUACCAAAGUGAAAUAGUUUUAUCUUUAUCAUACUAACCUAUCUCAUGAAGUUCCAUUAAGUUUUGUGUGAUUGAAGUUUCAAGUUUUGGGUGAGACAUCGAUAUGAGGAAAAUAAGGAGUGACAAGACCCUAAGCUUGGGGAUUCCCAGGGUACCCCAAGUAAAUAUCCAAGGAAGAUUCAAACAACUAAGCUUGGGGAUGCCUCGGAAGGCAUCCCAUCUUUCGUCUCCAGCAUUAUCGGUAACCUCACUUGGAGCUACAUUUUUAUUCGUCACAUGAUAUGUGUUUUGCUUGGAGCAUAAUUUUAUUUUAUUAGGAUUUGCUUGCUGUUAUUUAGAAUAAUGUUUUGCAUCUUUCAUUUUGAUACGUCUCCAAUGUAUCUAUAAUUUUUUAUUGUUCUAUGUUGUUUUAUUACCAAUCUUGGAUGUUUUAUAAUCAUUUUAUAUCAUUUUUGGUACUAACCUAUUGACAUAGUGCCAAGUGCCAGUUGUUGUUUUUUCCAUGUUUUUUACAUCAUAGAAAAUCAAUAUCAAACGGAGUCCAAAUGCCACAAAACUUUACGGAGACUUUUUAUGGACCAGAAGGAAGAUGUUGGGCCCUGGUUGCACCUGGGGGGAGUCCCGAGGAAGGGACAACCCACCAAGGCGCGCUAGGAGGCCCAAGCGCGCCCUGGUGGGUUGUUCCCACCUCGAGUGCCCCCCGGACCGCCUCUUUGCUCAAUAAAUACCCAAAAAAUCCCAGAACCCUAGGGGAGUCGACAAAAUAUUCAUCUAGCCGUCGCAGAGUCCAGAACCACCAGAUUUAAUCUAGACACCAUCAUGGAGGGGUUCACCACUUCCAUUGGUGCCUCUCCGAUGAUGCGUGAGUAGUUCUUUGUAGACCUUCAGGUCCGUAGUUAGUAGCUAGAUGGCUUCAUCUCUCUCUCUUUAUUCUCAAUACAAUGGUCUCUUGGAGAUCCAUAUAAUGUAACUCUUUUGCGGUGUGUUUGUUGGGAUCGAUGAACUUUGAGUUUAUGAUCAGAUCUAUCUUUUUAUAUCCAUGAAAUUAUUUGAGUUUCUUUGAUCUCUUUUAUGCAUGAUCUCUUAUAGCCUCACAUUUCUUCUCCGAUAUUUGGGUUUUGUUUGGCCAACUUGAUAUAUUUAUCUUGCAAUGUGAAGAGGUGCCCGGUACUGGGUUCGAUCUUACGGUGCUUGAUCCCAGUGAUAGAAAGGGAACUGACACGUAUGUAUCAUUGCUACUAAGGAUAAAAAGAUGGGAUCUAUAUCUACCGCCAUAGAUAAACAGAUCUUGUCUACAUCAUGUCAUCGUUCUUAUUGCAUUACUCCAUUUUUGCAUGAACUUAAUACACUAGAUGCAUGCUGGAUAGAGGUCGAUGUGUGGUGUAAUAGUAGUAGAUGCAGGCAGGAGUCGGUCUACUAAUCUUGGAUGUGAUGCCUAUGUAAUGAUCAUUGCCUGGAUAUCGUCAUAAUUAUUUCAAGUUCUAUUAAUUUCCCAAUAGUAAUUUGUUUACCCACCGUUUGCUAUUUUUCUCGAGAGAAGACACUAGUGAAACCUACGGCCCCCAGGUCUUCUUUCUCAUAUAUUUGCCUUUGCGGUCUAUUUUUCUCUUGCAUUUAUUUUCAGAUCUAUUAAUCCAAAAACACAAAAAUACUUUGUUGCACUUUAUUUUAUUUGCGGUCUAUUUAUUCGAUCUAUCACAAUUUUCUCCCGUCCACACACCGUUUGAGGUGUCGUUACCCGAAAGGGAUUGACAACCCCUUUAACACGUCGGGUUGCGAGGUGUUGUUAUUUGUGUGCAGGGGCUGUUUACGUUGUGUUGCUUGGCUCUCCUACUGGUUCGAUAACCUUGGUUUCAUAUCUGAGGGAAAUACCUACCGCCACUGUGCUGCAUCAUCCCUUCCUCUUUGGGGAAAUACCGACGUACCUUCAAGUGACAUCAAAAGGAAUUUCUGGCGCCGUUGCCGGGGAGGGAUUGACAACCCCUUUAACAUGUCGGGUUGCGAGGUGUUGUUAUUUGUGUGAAGGGGUUGUUUACGUUGUGUUGCUUGGUUCUCCUACUGGUUCCAUAACCUUGGUUUCAUAUCUGAGGGAAAUACCUACCGCCGUUGUGCUGCAUCAUUCCUUCCUCUUUGGGGAAAUACCGACGUAGCUUCAAGAGACAUCACAUUUCAAUAAAAAUGUCAUGGAUAGCCUUCACCAUGCUUAUUUUGCAAGUAUAUGAGUUGUUGUUUCAAAACAGAAAGUUUAUCGAUGUUGCAAAAAUUCCUGAGCAAAGUUAGAAUGUGAUAAAAUGUUGAAAUGUUUUGCACAGUAAGCUCUAAUAAAUUUUCUACAUUGUGGUAAAUUUUCACAUUUUUUGGAGUUAAAGAAGUAUUGAUACUCUUGCAUUCUUUACAGACUGUACUAUUUUGGCAGAUUGCUGUUAUGUUUGCAUUGUUUGCAUAUGUUUGUUUGUUUAAUGAUUCUAUAUGAGGAUAGGAGUAUUAAAUAUGAAAAGGCAUUUAGUAUGAAAUGUUGAAUAAUAAUUUUAGUGAUUUGCUACAGUAUAGAAUGAUAUGGUUUUUUCAUUGGUUUAUACUAACUUAUCUCACGAGUUCUUGUUGAGUUUUGUGUGGAUGAAGUUUUUAAAAUUUAGGGAAACCGUGAUAUAAAAGGAAUUAAGGAGACACAAAAGCUCAAGCUUGGGCAUGCCCAAGGCAGACCAAGAUAAUAUUUCAAUAAGACUCAAGCAUCUAAGCUUGGGGAUGCUCCGGUGGGCAUCCCACCUUUCUUCAUCAAUAAUUAUUGGUUAGUAUCAGUUGAGCCUAAGUUUUUGCUUCUUCACAUGAAUUGUGCUAUUCUUGGAACAUCAUUUUGUUUUGUUUUACUUGUUGUUUUAAUAAAAUACUUAGAUCUGAAAGUUUUUAAAUAAGAGAGAGUCCUCAAAUAGCUACCCAUUUACUUAACUACUUGUUUGAUCUUCACUUAUAUGUUUUUGGAGUAGUUUGCCAUUCGCUCUCAUGCUUCACUUAGAUUAUUUUGAAAGAUGAAAAUUUGUAUGCUCAUGUUCUUCACUUAAAUUUAUUUGAGCUUGUCAAAAGCAAUUGCAACGUAUGAAACUAGUCACAAAGUGAUAGAUAUUCAAGAGGGAUAUAAUAAAAACUUUCAUGAAGAUCAUUCGACAAAUUAAACUUGAUUUUUUGUAAUAGUUUUGAGAUAUGAUGAUAGUGAUAUGUGAGUCAUGUUGGUGAGUAAUUAUGCUUUAGUAAGAAUAUUGAAGUUAAGCUUUUUGAUUCCCUAUGCAAGCACGAAAGUCAAUAGUUAUGCUAUGAAAUUACAUCCUACUUGUGGUGCAUUAUUUGGUGUUAGUUAUGUUUAAUGCUCGCUUAUGAGAUAUUUCGUUUCUUGGUUGGAUGCUUCUCAACAUUUUUGCUAGCCUUAGCUUGUACUAAGUAGGAAUACUACUUGUGCAUCCAAAAUCCUUAAACCCAAUGUUUCCAUAUGAGUCCACUAUACCUACCUAUAUGCGGUAUUCCAAUGUUGUUCUAAGCAAAUUUGUAAGUGCCAUCUCUAAAAUUUCAAAAUAAUUUCCUUUUUGUGUGCUCAUACCGCUCAUGAAGCGGCAGGGGGUGCCCAAUAUGUGUUAUUAUCAAGAUGAGUGUUUAUUCACUUGUCAUUGCAUGAGAGUAGGGCAAAGGUAUUAGAGAUGCCCAGUCCCGAAAUGAAAAAGAAGUUUACUUUAUAUUGUCAAAUAAUAAAUUCGUUGGGAAGUGUUGGUAUGGAGGGCACCUGUGGAUAUGGCUAGCCAUGGAUUGUGAAAGAAUGGUGGAACAAGGAAUAAACUUUAUUUUCGGUUUGGGAACCACCUAUGAUAUAUCUACCAUGGAAAGUGUUGCGAAUUACUCGGUCAUUUUUGUUGACGGGAAAAGUAUGCCUCCCAAAAUCUUUAUCUCUCCAUUUAAGCUUUGAGCUCUGGCACCUCCACAAAUCCCUACUUCCCUCUGCAAAGGGCCUUUCUAUUUACUUUAUGCAAUUUUUAUUUUUAUUUGAGUCUCCAUCUUCUCUUAUAAGCACCAACUAAGGGGCACUAUGGUCGUACUUGAGCAUUGGAUGUAGCUAAUAUGCGAGUGUGUUUCAUGAAUGGAUCAAUGAUUGAGCAUGACGGGCUAGGGAUAACUUGCUUGAGUGUUGAUAUUUUGAAAGACAUGGUUGCUUGUUGAUAUGCUUGAGUAUUGAAAUCUUCAUUUCAAAACUAGACUAUUGCUUUAAACCAUAUAAAAGUCCAUAUGUCCAUGCUACACAAGAAAAGAAUGUGAUAAACAUGAUAGGAAGCAUUCCACAUCAAAAAUUCUAUUUUUAUCAUUUACCUACUCGAGGACGAGAAGGAAUUAAGCUUGGGGAUGUUGAUACGUCUCUAAUGUAUCCAUAAUUUUUUAUUAUUCCAUGCUGUUAUAUUAUCAUUUUUGGAUGUUUUACAAUCAUUUUAUUGCAACUUUAUAUCAUUUUUUCGGACAAACCUAUUGACAUAGUGCCUAGUAUCAGUUGUUAUUUUCUACUUGUUUUUACAUCAUAGAAAAUCAAUACCAAAUGGAGUCCAAAUGUAGAAAAACUUUUUGAAGAUUUUUUUGGACCAGAAGACAUGCAAUGGGCCGAAGAAGUACCAGAGGGGUGCCUCGAGGGAGGCACAACCCACUUGGGCACGCUUGGAGCCCAGGCGCGCCCUGGUGGGUUGUGGCCACCUCGCGGCCUCCCGCACCGCCUAUUCGCCCUAUAAAUUCCCAAAUAUUCCAAAAACCCUCGGUGUAACCCUAGAUCUGAAGUUCCGCCGCCUCAAGGCUCUGUAGCCACAAGAAAUCAAUCUGGACCCGUUCCGGCACCCUACCAAAGGGGGGAAUCAUCAUCGGUGCCCAUCUUCAUCAUCCCGACGGCCACCAUGAUGAGGAGGGAGUAGUCCACCCUCAUGGCUGAGGGUUUGUACCAGUAGCUAUGUGUUUAAUCUCUCUCUCUCUCGUGUUCUUGAGAUGUCAUGAUCUUUAUGUAUCGUGGGCUUUGUUAAUAUAGUCGGAUCAUAUGAUGUUUUCCCCUCUCUAUCUUGUUGUGAUGAAUUGAGUUUUCCCAUUGAGAUUUCGUUUUAUCGGAUUGAAUACUUUUAUGGAUUUGAGAGCACUUGAUAUAUGUCUUGCAAAUGAAUACUCAUGGUGACAAUGGGGUAUCAUGUUGAUUCACUUGAUAUAUAUUUUGGCAAUCAACUCGCGGAUUCCCAAGGUGGCAUUGGGGUUGAUGCACGUUCUUGUCUUUGUUUCUCCAGUAGAAAUCUUGGGGCUCUCUUGGUGGUUCUUUGUGCUGGAUUGAGUAUUAUAAAUAUGAAAUUAUUUGGUGUUAUUUUAGUAUGAACUCUUGGAUAGAUCGAUCGGAAAGAAUAGCUUCAAGGUGGUUUCGUACCCUACAAACGAUUUCUUCUUACGUUCUCCACUAGAUAGGAACUUCGGAGUGAUUCUUCAUCGCACUUUGAGGGAUGGUUAUAUGAUCCAAUUAUAUUAGCAUUGUUUAAUGAUUUCACUAGCGGAAGUAGAGACCCUAGGCCUCAUUUUAAAGCAUUGCAAUACCGUUUGUGCUCCGUUUUAUCAAUUGCUACCUUGUUGUUUUUUAUUGUUCUUAUUACAAAAAUCAAUAUCUACUAUCCAUAUUACACUUGUAUCACCAUCUCUUCGUCGAACUAGUGCACCCAUACAAAUUACCAUUGUAUUUGGUGUGUUGGGGACACAAGAGACUUUUUAUUAUUUGGUUCCAGGGUUGUUUGAGAGAGACCAUCUUCAUCCUACACCUCCCACAGAUUGAUAAACCUUAGGUCAUCCACUUGAGGGGAAAUUGAUACUGUCCUACAAAACUCUGCGCAUGGAGGCCCAACACAAGUCUACAAGAACAAUUUGUGUAGUAUACAUCAAUGGGUUGGAUGAGAUUUACCAUGUAAUCGAGUUAGUUUUGUUAGGGUUUGAUCCCUAGUAUCUACUAUGUUAUAAGAUUGAUGUUGAUAUGACUUUGCUAUGCCUAAUGCUUGUCUCUAGGGCCCGAGUGCCAUGAUUUCAGAUCUGAACGUAUUAUGUGUUCAUGAAUAUAUUUGUGUUCUUGAUCCUAUCUUGCAAGUUAUAGUCACCUACUACAUGUUUUGAUCCGGCAACCCCGGAGUGACAAUAGUCGGGACACUUCUCAGUGACGACCGUAGUUUGAGGAGUUCAUGUAUUCAUUAAGUGCUAAUGCCUUGGUCUGGUUUCUAUUAAAACGGGCCUUAAUAUCCCUUAGUUUCCACUAGGACCCCGCUGCCAUGGGAGGGUAGGACAAAAGAUGCCAUGCAUGUUCUUUUCCAUAAGCAUGUAUGACUAUAUUGGGAAUACAUGCCUACAUUAUAUUGAUGAAUUGGAGCUAGUUAUGUGUCACCCUAUGUUAUAACUAUUGCAUGAUGAAUGCCAUCUAACAUAAUUAUCCAUCAUUUAUCCAUUUCCUACGAACACAUUUUCGGUGUCAAAACCGGCAGAUCUCGGGUAGGGGUUCCUGAAUUGUGCGUCUAAAGCGGAUGGUAACAGGAGGCGGGGGACACAAUGUUUACCCAGGUUCGGGCCCUCUCGAUGGAGGUAAUACCCUACUUCCUGCUUGAUUGAUCUUGAUGAUAUGAGUAUUACAAGAGUUGAUCUACCACGAGAUGAUAGAGGCUAAACUCUAGAAGCUAGCCUAUGAUUAUGAUUGUUCUUGUCCUACGGACUAAACCCUUCGGUUUAUAUAGACACCAGAGGGGGCUAGGGUUACACAGAGUCGGUUACAAGGGAGGAGAUCUACAUAUCUGAAUUGCCAAGCUUGCCUUCCACGCAAAGGAGAGUCCGACCCGGACACGGGACGAAGUCUUCAAUCUUGUAUCUUCAUAGUCCAACAGUCUGGCCAAAGUAUAUAGUCCGGCUGUCCGAGGACCCCCUAAUCCAGGACUCCCUUAGUAGCCCCUGAACCAGGCUUCAAUGGCGAUGAGUCUGGCACGUAGAUUGUCUUCGGCAUUGCAAGGCGGGUUCCUUCUCCGAAUACUCCAUAGAAGAUUUUGAACACAAGGAUCGUGUCCGGCUCUGCAAAACAAAUUCCACAUACCACCGUAGAGAGUAUAUUAUUCCACAAAUCUAAUCUGCUGACAACUUUUCAUAACGUGAUGUCCUGCCGUGGCCCGGUCAUUACGAACUGUUUUCCCUGUUUGCGAGGCGGUUUUAUUGGCACGUCUUGUCGAAGAAGAGAUCGUGUUCCCCUUAUCACGGGAGUCUCAUCAAUACGGGUGUGGGUAACCCAAUCAUGCUUGUUAAUAUGACUCCUUGAUUUUAGGCAAGUUCUAAACGGCCACGCGGAGGACGCUUGAUAUUCGCCCUUUUUAUAAAGGGGCAAAGGCAUGUCCUCUUCUUUUCAUGCUCGAUCCUUCCCCACCCCCACCUCGAGUUUCAACACCCAAGGCUCAUGCUAAGCGCUACGGACCUUCAACCAUGUCCGGAUGCAACCUUCAAGGCCGGUGGAUGGCCUCCUCUGUCACAGAGGGGGACAUCAAGAAGCUAAGGGAAGCCAGGUAUCUGACCGCCGAAAUCUCGCACAGGCUGCCUGCUCAAGGGCAGGUCAUCCCCACUCCCGAACCCAAUGAGAGUGUCGUAUUUGUUUCCCACUUCCUCCGAGGGCUAGGCUUUAGUCUCGAUCCCUUUGUUAGAGGGCUUAUGUUCUAUUACGGGCUCGAUUUCCACGAUCUAGCCCCAGAUUCCAUCCUUCACAUCUCGUUGUUUAUCGUCGUGUGUGAGGCCUUCCUCUGCAUCACCCCACACUUCGGCUUAUGGCUCAAGACCUUCAAUGUGAAGCCGAACAUGAUCGAUGGGUGACACGCAGAAUGCGGAGGUGCCAUAAUAAGCAAAGGCGCCGAUGCUCCAUGGCCAAAGGGUUCCUUCCCGGAGGUGUCCAACUUAUGGCAGCGGGAGUGGUUUUACAUCACAGAUCCACGAAGUACUAAGUAGAUAGCUGCCCCCUGCUUCCGUUCGCCCCCUCCCCCUGCCACAACUGGCGUCAUGGGUCAACAAGGGGCUGGACUAGGGGCCAGUUAAUGACGUGCCGGCAUUGCAAAGUCGCAUCCGAGAUCUCCUCAAGAGGGAUGUUAGUCUCGUCAAGGUAAUGCAAGUUAUGCUAGUUCGUCAGGUCCUGCCAUGCCAAUGUCGAUCUCUCUGUAUGUGGGAGUUCAACCUGGAAGGACCACGAACUAUUCAGCAAUUCUUUGGCAUGACACUCGAAGGGAUGUAUGGAUUGUUCUUCGGAUCACGAAUAACGUGAUCAGACACCACCAAGGAUGCGGGUCUAAACUGCAAUCGUCCAGAUACCCAUGUAAGUAAUUUUGCGGCCGAACACGUAGUCUUUUCAUUCGUCAUAACAUCAUUCUGAAAAAAUUGCUCUUAGCCAGGACUGGAUAAGAAAGGCGAAGAUGAUCAGGUGUUCGGCCCCCCUUCCCGAAGGCUCAUCGGAUCAUGUACUAGCCAGGAUGCUUGAGCACACACUUUAUCAAGUGCCAUCAGGGGAAGAUAAAGGGAGGGAUAAAGAAGCCGAAAGCGGGCCUCACGCAUUACUCAUCCAAACCGAGGGAAUUAGUGUCUCCGCGAAGGAGGAUAAUCGGGGAGAAGGAUCUAGAAUCCCCUCUCCCUAAGGAAGGAAAAGGACUGCCUUUGAAGACUUGGAAACGAGGGUUUCCAAACGAGGGAAGAAACCUUCGCCAGGGGGGCCUUCCCCGGAGGGCGUCCUUACCGCACAAUGCCCGCAAGGGGGUCAGCCCUCCACCGAGCUGUAAGUGAACCAGAGUACAUUUGGUAAAUAUAUGAUGCUUUAUCUCCGAGGACAAUAACCGAGACAUAUGUCUUGCAGUCCGGAUCGUAGCCCUUUUCGACAGAGUUCGUCUUCGGGGGAUCUUCUUCUGGAGAUGAUGGAGAGCGAAACGCCUCCCCUGUCUCCCAGCCUCCUGAGGCGGACAACCCUGAGGUGUCAUCACAGAGGAUUUCUCCUGAUCCGCCAAGGCCAGAAGGUAACCCUUCGGGCACCCGAAGUCCGAAGUAUUCGGCUCCUUAGGAGAGCAAAAGAAAGCGUCUGGGAUUGUCCGGUGCACAACCGGACGUACUGAUGGGUCUUUUGGAGCAAGUGGCUAUCUCAGAGGAGCAUCGUACUUUAAUGGGUACGGUGGUUGAGAGGAUCUCAUCCGCCAAAAGUGGGUUGCAUGAAGCUUUUAUGAGCCUGCUAAGAGGCUUUGAGGUACGCAAAGUAGUGUUUAAAUUUUUUAUGGUACCGCACACGCUAGGUGUGCUCUAUACAGAUAGUAGCCCCUGCGACUUUGGUUGCUGUCCAGAGGUGGCAAACAGAGGAUCGUAGUCCCAAGUAAUGAUCGUGCUGCUUUCAUGUGCAGGCGGCUGACGGUCCGGUGGCUGGCUGGACUGCUGAGUUUGCCGGACUGAGCCGGCAACUUGAUACAGCAGAUGCCGACAUCGUGCUUAUGAACAAGCGGCUUGACGAGGCACAGGGUAUGUAUUCUCCAGUGGUCAACAAAUAUUAAGAGGAGCAAGAUGCUAGUAUCUAUAACAUGCUGUGACUGCAGAUGGAGCUGCCGCUGUGGAGACCCUUUGGGCGGAGAUUGCCCGAGCCAAGGAACAAGCCAGGAGAAGUGAUAUGGCCGCCCUAAAGGCGACCGAAGAGUUAAGAGCCGAACUGGCUGCUCAUCGCCAGAGCGAAGAUAAAAUAGCCAAGAUAGCUGUUGAGCUGAAGGAUGCCACUGACCAGUAUGAGCUUCUUGAAAAGGAAAGCCAAGCGAAAGCGGCGGGCCUGAAGAAAGUCAUGGUAGCAGCCAAGGAAACCCGCUCUAAAAUCAGAGCGGCGAAGCAGGAGCUCCGUCAGGCCGGAGAUAUCACGGCUGGGAAGCCCUUUUUGUUGCGGAUGAAGUUCGGAGAUCCAAAGUAUGCCCCUCUGGAUCAAUUAUGGAGUGCAGUAGACGCGUAUUCGGACCUGGCAAUGAGUGCUGCUGAUGCGACUGAGUUUUUCAAAGAUCAGAAAGAUCAUGAAGUGGAAAGAUUGUUCUGGUCGCAGUUAAGUGCUCCAACGCGUCCGCUGCUAUUAAAUGAGCAAACGGCCGAGUGGGCUAAGCUCCAUAGGUUGUCCGGGCUUGCCAUGAGGUCUGUCAUGGAUCAUCUUUGGAUGGAAGGACCAAGGGCGAAUAGUUAUUUUGGUUUAGUGCAACGAUUCCUUGGUGGUGUGCCGCAUAUCGACGCUGUAAAGAGGUCGGCGUGCAUAGAGGGUGCGCGGAUGGCUCUUGCCCGUGUUAAGACAUACUGGGCAGAGAUGGAUGCCACCACUAUUGCAACCCGGGGUCCGGCCAUAGGCCAGGUCUCGGCCGAGCACUAUUUUGAAGAAGUCCUAGAAGGUGCUCGUUUAAUAGAGGCUCAGUGCUCGAAGAGUAUCAUGUUCAAGUGACAUGUAUCCCAAUUGUAAAAACAAUGCUAUUUGUAUUAUAAAGGCUGUGUUUAUACUUUUUCCUGAAAGUAUUAUGAUGCCUCCUGUGCGGCCGUUUAUGUAUGUAUGUAACCUGAAAGUUUGCAGUCGUCGGCUUCAGCCCGCACGCAUAUAAUGCGGAGGUGUUCGGAAAAGCACGUAUUCACACUUGAUCCAACGUCUUGGUCCAUUAAGGAGGUGAUAGCACGGCGAACAAGGCAAUCGGACUAUAUUGCUUUAACACUUUCACUUAGCCAUAGGAGUUUGAUAGUGGGGCUACUAUAUAGCCCCUGGUACUUCCGCGCUUAUCCGAAUACGGUGCACGUACAUACAUGACCGGGAAACCGGUCCUUCGUUAAUGCGGAGGAAUCGCGAAGAUUCCCCUGAGUCCUCGAGUGGUUGACCAGUCUCGCGCUUUAUCAUGACAGUUAGUUUUCGGCUUUCACUACUGAGGUGCUCAUCUAGAUCAACCAGGGCACAAUCACAGUAGUUCUCCUGGUGCCACCUUAGCCGAUAGAGCGGAACGUAAGGUAGCAAAACACGGGAGCCGAGCAAACCCAACUAUUGACCAAAGACAUGAUUCGGAGCUAAUGCAUAUAAGGCCAAACUCACGACGCCGAACACUCCCUAAGUUAUUCAGUCUUUACAACGUAUACUUGGCUGAGUAAGGCCCUCGAUAAUAAGCCCUGAAUUUCCAGGUACGUGCAUUAGUCCGAUGUGACAAAAUGUCAAUAACGCUAGCAUCCCUCUUGGUUAUGUUGAGUAUCCCGAGGGUGUGAAGCAACAAGAGACAGUAAAAAAGGUGUACACAGGGUCUUAAUCUAAAAAGAAACCUUUGAACGGGGCCCUGCUGCACGUCUGUGCCUAUGUCUCCGUUGUGCCGUAUCCUGGAAGGGUGUAGCACGAUGAUCAUCUGUAAGAGAGAAAAGCCCAGAUGAAAGUUUUCGUGCGAAAAAUUGGUUAUUCUUAAUAAACCAUUAAAAUUCAAUCUAAAUAAGGUCAAGCCGAACUAUAGUCAUGUUUACAUGUGGGGAGCCCCUAGCACCACCUAUGGGGGUAUAUCCAUCGACCCAGUCUUAGGUUUAUCUGAGCUGUUACAGCUAGUGGUGCGCCGGACUCGUCUAGCCCUGUCCGCGGUCUUGACGGCCGAUCAUUUAUUCUGGUUGGAGAGGUCGUUCAGUGUUCGGAUGCUAAAGCCGCCACACGUUCUUCCGCACGUAAGGAACACUCUGCGUUUCCGCUAACUAUGAUGAUGCCACGUCGAGAGGGCAUCUUAAGCUUAAGAUAAGAGUAAUGUGGUAUUGCAUUAAAACGAGUGAAGGCCGCUCUUCCGAGUAGUGCUUGAUAGCCGCUUCGGAAUGGAGCGAUGUCGAAGGUUAACUUUUCACUUCGGAAGUUGUCGGGAGAACUGAACACAACCUCUAGUACUAGAGAGCCCGUGCAGCGGGCCUCUGGGCCUGGUAUUACUCCUUUAAAGGUAGUAUUGCUUUGGCUGAUUCUUGUCGAGUCUAUCCCCAUUUUGCGGACUGUGUCCUGAUAUAUUAGGUUAAGACUACUGCCACCAAUCAUAAGGACUCGGAUGAGGUGGUAUUCAUCAAUUAUUGGGUCUAGUACCAACACAGCCGAUCCUCCAUGCUGGAUACUAGUCGAGUGAUCCCUGCGAUCAAAAGUGAUCGGGCAGGCCGACCAAGGGUUGAACUUGGGGGUUAUGGGCUCCACGGCGCAUACGUCUUGGAGUGCGCGUUUGCUCCUUCUCUUCAGUACGUGGAUCAUGUUCACUGUUUUGACCUCUGGUGGGAAUUUUUUCUGUCCCCUAGUGUUUUGCUGGCGAGGCUCAUCCUCGUCUUCACUUGGUGUCUCCCUCCCCUUGUGUUUGGCAUUUAGCUUGCCGUCCUGCUUGAAGACCCAACAUUCUCUGUUGGUGUGAUUUGCCGGUUUGUCAGAAGUGCCAUGAAUCUGACACAAUCUGUCUAGAAUCUUGUUUAGGCUGGACGGUCCAUCUCUCCUGCCUUUGAAUGGCUUUUUCUGUUGACCGGGUCGAGAGCCCCUGAAUCCGGCGUUUACUGCCGUGUUUUCUAGGUUGUCUUCAUUGUUUCGACGCUUGCUUUUAUUGCGUCGUGGUUUUCCAUUGCCAUCCCUGACUUCGGAUGUGCUUGGGUCGCUGGUGCCGCUACGGGCUAGCCAACUAUCUUCGCCCAAAAGCAGGUCAUAAGGCUUGUUAGGGCUGUCAUUGUCCUUAGUUUUUCCUGGCCGAGGUGUCUGGUGAGCCAUUCGUCCCGGACACUAUGUUGGAAAGCCGCUAAGGCUUCGGCGUCCGAGAAGUCGAAAAUUUGAUUCUUCUUAGUGAGGAAUCUGUUCCAAAGCUUUCGGGCUGACUCUCUCGACUAUUUAAUUAUAUGACUUAAAUCGUCUGCAUUCGGAGGUCGGACAUAGGUCCCAUGAAAAUUAGCCCUAAAAGCAUCCUCAAGCUCUUCCCAACUUCCAAUUGAGUUUUCGGGGAGGCUCUUUAGCCAGUGCCGAGCUGGUCCUUUCAACUUGAGGGGCAAGUAUUUGAUGGCGUGGAGAUCAUCUCCGCGAGCCAUGUGGAUAUGAAGGAUAAAGUCCUCAAUCCAGACCCCAGGGUCUAUCGUUCUGUCGUAUGCCUCUAUGUUCAAGGGUUUGAAUCCUUCUAGAAAUUCAUGAUCCAGAACCUCAUCAAUGAAGCAUAGGCGGUGUGCGGCACCCCUGUAUUUGGAUGUGUGAUGGCAUUCUGACGGUUGUAGUGUUCGGUAUUGAUUCUGUGCCAGAGCGUGUUUAAUAGAUCUGUAGAUGGACCUGGUCAUACCGGUUUUCUGAUGUAAGUCCUCACAUGAAUCGUGUGCUGACUUAUGUGCGACAUCGUUAGCCGCCCUAUCACGGCCACGGGGUGGUCGAUCCGACUGAUCGGCCGUUUUAUUUUUUGCCUGUAUAGGCUCUAAAGCCUCGUCAUCGAAUUCAGGCAGCAGCUUGCGCUUUGGAUAGCUCUUUGUGUGGUGGAUGCCAUCGUACUUUUCUUCAGAGUCGAUCACUUUGUUCCAUCUGUUGUUGAGUGUAUUUUGCACGGCCUUAAGCCUUUGCUUCUGCUUCUUCAGACUCCUCGCGGUGGCAAUAAGCCUUCUGUGCAGGUCCUCUUGCUCCAAGUGCCUCUCCGGGAUGAUGUGUGCAUCAUUGUCCGGACUGUUCUCCUCUUUGGAGAUGGGUUGAUGAGGUUUACCCUCGGCGUCACCGUGAUCGGGCAGCGGCUCCGUACUAUGUUCGUCGUCCGCUGGUUCAUCCUGCUUUGUCAUUGGGUCCAUGUGGUCGUCGUUUGCUUUGGAGUCGACCGGGGUAUUAUUCUUUCUUGCGUUGUUAUCGCUGUUUUUGCCUAGGGGGGAUUUGGAGCGGCGCCUACGUCAUUGCUUUGGUUGCUUCUCGAGGGGAUUAUCCUUCGCUGCGUCCUUCCGUUCCCCGUCAUUGUUUUCUUUGGGUGUAUCCAACAUGUAUAUAUCGUGUGAUGAAGUGGUUGUCCAGCGUCCUGUGGGCGGUGGUUCCUGUUCCUCUCCUGCAUCGUCGUCCAUACCGUCGAUGUCUUCGGAGUCAAAAUCAAGCAUGUCGGUUAAGUCGUCGACAGUGGCUAUUAAGUGGGUGGUGGGUGUGGAAGGAAGUUCUUCAUCGUCCGCUUCCCACUCCAGCCGGACAUAGUUCGGCCACGGGCCUUCUGACAACGAGAGAGACCUUAAUGAAUCCAGCGCGUCGCCUAGGGGCGAAUGCUGAAAGAUAUCCGUGGAGGAAAACUCCAUAAUCCGCGACCAAUCAGGUUCGUUAGGCACGAACACAGGCGAUUCGGAGCCCGUGGCCGGGGACGAAUCCAAGGGUCCGGCAACAUAUGUCUCGUAGGAGGUGAAGUCAGUAUUCGGCUCUGUCGCCAUUGAGUGUGCGGCCUCCGUGGCAGGGUCCGUCCACCCGUCCUCGGACGGCGCGAUCUGCUCCGGAUCAAGGGUCGGAGUUGCCACAGGUGUGAUCUCCCGAAUACUGACCAGUGGUAGAGCUAAGUCAUGCUCGUCGUGGCUGUGUGGUGCAAUUGACACGGGCUCUAAUCCGUCGAAGAUCAAGUCUCCGCGGAUGUCGACAGUAUAGUUUAAAUUUCCAAGCCUGACCUGGUGGCCAGGGGCGUAGCUCUCGAUCUGCUCCAGAUGGCCAUGCGAGUUGGCCCGCAGUGCGAAGCCGCCGAAUACAAAGAUCUGUCCGGGGAGAAAAACCUCACCCUGGAUCGCAUCAUUGCCGAUGAUCGAAGGAACCAUCAAGCCUUAUGGUGACGACACAGUGGAACUCUCAAUGAAAGCACCAAUGUCGGUGUCAAAACCGGCGGAUCUCGGGUAGGGGGUCCCGAACUGUGCGUCUAAAGCAGAUGGUAACAGGAGGCGGGGGACACAAUGUUUACCCAGGUUCGGGCCCUCUCGAUGGAGGUAAUACCCUACUUCCUGCUUGAUUGAUCUUGAUGAUAUGAGUAUUACAAGAGUUAAUCUACCACGAGAUCGUAGAGGCUAAACCCUAGAAGCUAGCCUAUGAUUAUGAUUGUUCUUGUCCUACGGACUAAACCCUCCAGUUUAUAUAGACACCGGAGGGGGCUAGGGUUACACAGAGUCCGUUACAAGGGAGGAGAUCUACAUAUCUGAAUUGCCAAGCUUGCCUUCCACGCAAAGGAGAGUCCCACCCAGACACAGGACGAAGUCUUCAAUCUUGUAUCUUCAUAGUCCAACAGUCCGCCCAAAGUAUAUAGUCCGGCUGUCCGAGGACCCCCUAAUCCAGGACUCCCUCACACAUUUCAUAUUGAUCUUUGCUCCGUUAAUUUUCUGUUGCCACUAUUAUGAUUGCUACAAAAUUGCUACUGUUACUUUUGCCAUUAUUACCGCUACUUCCAUACUACUUUGCUAAUAAAUACUUUGCUGCAGAUAUUAAGUCUUUCAGGUGUGGUUGAAUUGACAACUCAGCUGCUAAUACUUGAGAAUAUUCUUUGGCUCCCCUUUUGUCGAAUCAAUAAAUUUGGGUUGAAUACUCUACCCUCGAAAACUGUUGUGAUCCCCUAUACUUAUGGGUUAUUAGUGAUUGGCGGUUGCCCUCUCUUGAUGAAGAGCUUCAAUGGUCCAGCACCCUGAUGGAGCGAGUCACCAAGGUGGAGGCCAAUGUAUACAAAUGUACCCCCUAUGUGGAGGUAGCGUUUAUCAAGAGGAGGAUCGAGGAGGACAUGGUUGCCCUCAUCGCUGCAAUGGCAAGGGCCGCAAAGGCUGGGAAGGGCAAAGGGAAAGCCGAGGAUGUGGGCUCCUCCCAUGGUAGUAGCGAGGUGCAAGUCAUGGCAGAGGUUGUCGGGGAAGACCUUGCCGGGGACGAGACUGUUGGGCUUGAUGCUCUAGCCACUGCGGCAGUAGAGCUCCAAGAGGAGGAGGAGGCUGGCGAGGUAGCGGAGCAUGAGGCGGAUUGGCUCGCGGCUGGACCUCAAGCCCCCGAGCCGGUUUUGGAUCAGCAUCCCUGCAGGCGUGCUGCUAACCGGGGAGCGGUGGCUCCAAAUCCAGCGCCUGUCGCCAAGAGGGUGUAGAAGAUCACCACCAAAAUCACCAAGACCGACGUGGCGUGCCGUCAGUGUCCUCUCCUUGUCGGGAUCAAAGCUUCCCCUGCCAAGCAAUCAGCGAAUGUGGAAGUCAAUCCUAGCUCUCAUUCUGGCUCGAGCUCUUCACAGAGCUUAUCUUCAUCACAGCCCCGGGCGCCUCAGCUGGAAUUGGAGCUACCGGAGAGCUCCGCCCCUCCAUCCCAGAAGAGAGGCAGGGCAUCGUCACCUCCCGUGGAGUUCAAUUUGAACUCCAUGCUCAUUGAUGAGGAGUAAUGAAGAUUUCCUUUCUUAUAAAUAGCUUCAGUAUACUUGAUUAUCUUUGCUGACUGACCUCUUGUUUUGCUGCCGUUGGCAGAGAGGUGGAGGAGGAUACAGAGACCCUCACCCAUCGGUCGAAGAGGCCCCUGCGCACUAGGUCUCCGAAGACUGUGGAGAGCCUGGGCUUGGCGGGGAGCAAUACGGAAGAUCCCGCACCGGGUCCCCAUCCCAGCCCUCGACCCAUAGGUGGAGAGCUGGUCCCCUCUACCGGAGGUGACGGAGACGAGCUUUCCAUCCCCUCAGUCAGAGGAGGCGGCAAGAUGACGCAGGACGAGUCCCCCUGGGAAGGCAGGUCCCUUCUACUACCCCAGUCAAGGAACCCCUGGCGAGGCCCUUUGCGGACGAGACCGCACAGGAUGCUGUCACGACUGCCGCAGCAGGGGGCAGAGUUCAUGGCCCGGCAACUAGUGCUUCCGAAGAAACUGAGGCCCCUGCCCGGUAGGUUCCUUUGGGUACUUAACUUCUGCUCUCUUCCCUUCUUCCUUGUGCAUAUCACUUCUCCCUAUACCCCGGCAAUCUAAGACUCCUACUUUUUUUGCCAUUCACUUGUCUUCCCUUUUGUGGUCCUCCAAGCUGAAGAGCCAGAGCUGCUGGAAGAGGUGGCCAGCAUAGGGAGAGUUGUUGCGGACGACGCCCCCAAGAUUGCCACUAUGGAGGGACAGGGCCUUGUUGCUGAGAGUUCUCAGGAUUCCUUGGCAGUGGUGGAGCAUGCUUCAGAGAGAGCCCCGAGGUGGAAGUGUUUGUUGAGGGGAAGAUUCCUCUCCAAACCAUGGAUCCCCUUCUUUCCUCUCGGCCCAUGAUGGGGACCUCGGCAUCCCCUUCAAGUCAAAUGGCGCUGGUGCUGGUGCAGAAUGUGAUUGGAGCCCCCGGCCUGUCCAUGAUGACAAGCGCGAAGCUCGACAAAGAGCUUCAAUGCAUCCUGGCAUCACUGCACCAAGGGGUUGGAGAGGCGGAUGAUUCAGUUGCGGUUGCAAUGGACUUGUCUUUUCUAGAGUCCAUGGCGACGGGUGUCAAGGAAAUGCAGGCCCAGCAUGACCAGACGUGGCAGGCGCUCAAGGAGCGGCGCGAGUCUGCUAGCAGUGUGGACCAGAAGCUAAAUGACAAGUGCCUGGAGUUGCACGAAUGGCACGACAAGCAGUUCAAGGUGUUUAUGAGGCAGCAAGAGGCGCUUCUGAUGAAAAGGGAAGAUGUCAUGGCCUGCGAAGCGCGCUUAGUGGACCGGAAGGCACACUUGGAUGCCAGAGAGCAAGAAAUCUCUCUCCCGGAGGAGAAGCUUGGAGCCACUCUUCGCGCCAAAGAUGAUGAUCUGGAAGCCCUCGUACAUCAACAUACCAAGGAGCUGGAAGACGAGCACAAAGCUUCCCUGGGUGCCCUUACGACCGAUUGUGCCGCUCGGUUGAAGAAGCUCAAUGAUGAUCUAGUUGCUGCAUCCACUGCCAAGAUUAAUCUCGACCAACAGGUGACCAAUCUGAUCGAAGAGCUUGCCGAGAGCACCAAGGAAGUGGAGGCCCUCGAGGAGGAAGCACGAAAGACGGAGGUUCUCCUAACCGACGUGCAGUUGUAGCUUUCCUCCAGGACCCAAAGUCUUGAAAAUGCCAACGACACCAUCAUUGAUCUGAAAGCCAGGAUCAGUUCCUUAGAAAGCACGGCAGAGUCUAGCAGAAGCCCCCAGUAGCAGCUGUCCAGAGAUCUGGAAAAUGCCUAGUGUCUCUGGAAGGAUGCAGCAGACCAGCUGGCGAAUAAAUCUAAGCAGCUCAACCUCUGGAUUAGGAGCCUGAUGGAUAUCACCAUGCGACUUGCCACCUAGACCGUAGUGAUGGGCAUGAAUGAGCUAGCUUUUUUUGUCAACAGUCAUGAGGUCCCCAGCAUCAAGCUGGGAGUUUUCUUCAACAAGCUGAUCAAUAAGCUGAAGGUGCAUGAAGAGGGGAGGGCCAAGCUCUUCAUGACUGAAUCCCGAAAGCUCAUCACGACGCCCUCUUCAUGGUCUUGAGGAACACCGCAUGCCACCACCUGGACCUCGACCUUGAUGACGGGUUUAGGAAGCCGUCGGUGGGUGCCGACAUCUCAGCUGCCAAGGAGAAAGUAGCCCCUCGGGCUGCCAACGUCUUCCGCGUCCCAACGGCUUCACACAGUCGUCAGACUAAGUGAUGAGCCAUAGUUACUCUUGUGCUAUCCUGUAACAAGACAUGAUAUAUGCUUUGUGUUCAAGUACCAUACUGUUUAAUGCUUGCGUGGAACUGAUGUCCUUUGCUUAAUCUUAAAUGCACAUUUAUCCCUCUGAACUUAUUUGCAUGUGUUCGUACGAUUGGUCCUUAUGUAUGUUCUAGUUGCUUGCCGGUAUCAUAUUGCCGCAAUUGUCGUAAGGGUCCGGCCCUUAACACUCAUCUUGGCAUGAAUGCGUCCCGGCAACUUUUUCCUUGGUACCUCUCGACGCAGCCGCUCAUUCUGCGAGCAGGGCUCUGGACAUAACGAGGUGUAGACAAAGAACUAGCCAAGGUACCAUCACACGAAGGAUUUCAUAGCACGAACACUUGAGAAUGCCAAGGGAUACACGAAUGUAAAAAUCUAGGGUUCAUCAAGAGGAAAUGACUGCGUGGACUUAUCUUUUUCCCUUUUCCUUUCCCAUCUCUUUCAGAGGCGUGCAUUUGGCAUGCUCGGGAUAUCCGAAAAGAUGGAAUCCAGGCGAAUAACUCUCUGGUUCCCGGCAGGGACCAAUACAUGUCAUGCGUGUCUGGUGGCCAGUGGAAUACAGUGCCAGGCUUUCCCGGUCCCUCUCCCCCUCUUCUUUUGAGCAAUCCGGCAACGGCUGUCGCAUGGAUCACACCAGUGCAGACGGCCUUGCUGGGGCAUACUUGCCUGGGCAUCGAUCAAUGGAUUCGUACCGGCGUUUUACUCAGGAUUUCCCUAAGCAGGGUAAAUGCUGAACCGAGUACUGGGCGCUACUCAUCGACAUUGACGAUGCCAGGGACAAAGCAACUCGAUUGACGAUGAAGGAGAGAGAUGGAAAAGAGGAACCUUGUGCUCACGCACCUUGUCUUUUCUUCCCGAACGGUGCCUAAGCGGCGGUCAUGCCACAUUGGCCGCCUGGGAGGGGCAUAACACCGCCGACAAUAAUCUUCACUGUGGCUGCGACCUCGGUGGGAUGAGAUGAUGAAUAAAGCAGGCGCGGGAGCGGCCCCGUCUCCCCGCUCUGUCUUCGCAUUUCCACGGGCGCCGCUGAUACCAAAAUCUUUGGCUGGGCUGCCAUGGAUAUGAUGCGCUGCUCAUGCCUUUAGGUUCGCGCAAGUGAUUCAACUACCUGGCACGCCAAAGAUGUCGCAGGAAACCACGGCCACCUAUGGGACCAAGGGUCCCUUGCUGGUUUGGCGGGGGGAUGACAUGUUGCACAAAGAGCAGAGGAGCGUGGAACAGCAUGACAGAGAUCACACAAGCAGUCUUUACCCAGGUUCGGGCCGCUGUGAGGCGUAAAACCCUACUCCUGCUUUGGUGGAUUCAUGGUGGAAAAAAUGGUGGUGAGUGCAACACGCUUGCUCGGUAGGAUUGCCUUGGGGUGAAACGGCUACGCGCGUAUGAAUAUGUGUGGGGGUGGAUUAGCCAACCCUUUCUAUGGUUGCCUUGGGCCUCCUUUUAUAGACAAAGGGGUCACCACGGUGGCAAAUCAGUCAUUAUGCACUGAUUAGAUAGCAAACAAUGCUAUCAUACCUAACUCUACAGGCCGACAGAUCGCAUUAAAUGCACCGCUCUACGUCACAUCGUAGCUUGCCCGGCAGGCUCUGUCGGGCUGUUUUGCCAGCUUUGCGCCUGCUCCCUCGACACAUCGCAGGACGGGUGUCGCUUGUAGGUAUUUUCUGUAGGAAGUGGCUGCCAUGUGGCAAAUAGCACUCACUUAGCCACUUUGGCGCUUGACACCUCAUCGAUCGAUGACGUGCGCGUGUUGAGGUGGUGCGAUGAGGUGGUUUUGCCCUUGCAAGCCCCGGCAGGCCUGCCAGGACGACCCAAAGGCUUGCUUCCGGGGGGUGGCCGCAUACUUCCCUUGGCAGCAUCUUGCUUCUCUGGCUUAGUCUUGGUGCUCUUGUGCUGCAUGCUGGUCCCUUGAAGAACAAGUCUCUUGUGCUUCGGUCUGAUCUGGGAGUUGUAAUCUUGUUCUCGUGCCUGUGGGCUUCAUCUUCCAUGCAGGAGUCAGGGGAAAAUGUAUACCCCUGUUUAUUUUCCUCGACACACACCAUGCAAGUUUCUUUCAAGAUCUAUGAGGAUACCUUGGAAUGUGAUGUGGUCCCUAUGUUUGUGUGCCACCUUCUCUUGGGAAGACCUUGGCAAUUCGACCGCGGCAUCAUCCACAACGGAAGAACAAACCACUAUAGCUUCAAGAUGAAGGGAACAGAGUACGUGCUACGACCUAUGUCACCAAGCCAAGUGAUAGCCGACAAGCAGGCAUCCACCCAUCAUGGAGAAACUAGUGAGAGAGUGAACCACCACAAAGAGAGUGAGAGCCACAAGCCCAAAUUGAGUGACUCUACGCCAUGAGAGAAAAACUUAGUCCUCCUAGCCACAAAAAGAGAGAUGAGAGAAGUGUGUGAGAACUCCGAGUGUCAUCCACUAUGUCCUAGUGUGCAAAGAUGAGGUGGCAAAGACUAACACUACUAACCCUCUUCCUCUAGUGUUGUCUGAUUUGUUGCAGGAAUUCGCGAAUGCCUUCCUCGAUGAGCUACCUCCUGGUCUUCCUCCUCUACAUGGCAUCGAACAUCGGACCGCUCUCAUCCCCGACACACCUCUUCCUAACAAGGCUCCAUAACACGUCAACCCCUAAUGUAGGAUAGAACCCUAAUCGGGCGAUCUUUCACGAAAGGAGCGGAUCCCGCGAUGAAAACGAAGAACGCAAGGGGGGAAAUGAGGGGAAACACAAGAGGAAACUUGAGAAAAUCACUAAACCAACAUGAAAUAGUCACACAUGUGCUAGAUCCUCGAGUACAUAAGAGAUCACAUGGUCCACGGACAACUAAGGACGAUACAAAGGUAGUCGGUCUUCUCCGUGAGGAGGUCUUGAAGUUCUUCUCCGCAAGGAGGUCUUGAAUCCAAAGGUAUCUUCUCCGAAGAGGGGUCGCGGUCUCUCUCGUGGAGUAGAUCCGAUGUGGAUGAGCAAUGCUCUAUCUCUAAAUAUGAGCUAAACCAAUGCUAACCCUAGAAAGAGGAACGCAGAGGAGUAUAUAUAGUCUAUGGGGUUGAAGGGGUACACGGGCCUCAACCCUUCACUGUGCCCAGAUAGGGGAGGUCGGACGUCCGGACGUCGGGCCGGAUGUCCGGGCUUUGACACGAGGCCGGAUGUCUGGGCUGGAGUGGCUGGCUUCGUUGCUCUCGGGUUCGGAGGGGUACGGAUUUCCGGGCUGGUGGCCGGAUAUCCAGGAGCUCAGGAAGGGUCGGAUGUCUGGGCUGUUGGGGCCGGAUGUCUGGGGCCUGUAGAUGCUUGGUGGCUGUGCAGCUUGAUGAUGGACGACGCUCCAGGGGCCGGACGUCUGGGGUCGUUGCCGGAUGUCCGGGUCCUAGGAGGUGUUCUCGACUCCUUCCGUGGGUUCUCUUCAUCCAUUAACUUGGGGGCUUGUACACCUUCACGUGCAUCUUCGGGAGGGUCCUCUUGGUACCUAAUCAUGCACAACGUCUCGGAUUUAGGUAGUAGCCAUGUCUCGAGAGGAUCAUAUGUAAUAUCACUAAGGAAGGAAGUCACCUCGUUCUCGAGAGCUCUAGCUCUAGCUCGUGUCAUGGGUCCUCUUGGCUCUUGUUGAGGCGAUGGUAGGUCAAUGGGGAUGACCAUAGGAUGCUCCGCAUCAUUUCCCCUCCCUUGGGGAAGAUCUGACCUCGGAUCAAAAUCCUCAUCACCAUGGUAGGGCGAAAGAUCCUUGACAUUGAAGAUGUCGCUCAAGGAGUACUUGUCGCGCGGGAGAUCGAUCUUGUAGGCAUUGUUGUUGUAGCGUUCAAGCACCUUGAAAGGUCCAUCCGCUUGUGGUCGAAGAUUGGACUUGCGUUCGUUGGGGAAGCGAUCCUUGCGAAGGUGUAGCCACACAAGAUCUCCAAUGUUGAAUACCAUGGGGUGCUUGUUGAUGUUGCGCUUGGUCGCAAGUCGUUGUACUUGGCGCUCGAUGGUUUGCCUUGUAUCUUCAUGCACCUUCUUGAGAUGGUUCACACGUGCACUUGCGUCCAUACUGAUGCGCUCUUGUAGUGGUAGAGGAAGGAUGUCCAAUGGGGACAAAGGGUUGAAUCCGUAGACGACCUUGAAGGGGGACUUGUCGGUUGUGGAGUGUCUUGCGCGGUUGUAGGUGAACUCGGCGAUAGGUAGACACUCCUACCACUCCUUGAUGUUCUUCUUGAUGAGUACUCGAAGUAGAGCGGAGAGUGUGCGGUUGGUCACCUCCGUUUGGCCGUCGGUUUGAGGAUGGUAAGCCAUGGAGAAGAGUAGCUUGAUUCCGAGCUUGGCGCAUAGGGUCUUCCAAAAGUAGCUUAGGAACUUGACAUCGCGGUCCGAGACAAACGUAUUUGGUGCUCCAUGAAGACGCAAUAUUUCCCUACAAAAGAGAUUGGCAACAUGUGAAGCAUCGUCUAUCUUGUUGCAAGGAAUGAAAUGUGCCAUUUUGGAGAAACGGUCCACAACGACAAAUACCGAAUCCUUUCCAUUUCGAGUCCUAGGCAAUCCAAGUACAAAAUCCAUGAUAUGUCUUCCCAUGGUUGAUAUGGAAUUGGUAGAGGCAUGUAAAGGCCAUUGGAUUGAGCUUUGGACUUAGCUUUGCGACAUGUAGAGCAUCGGUUGGUGAAGCGGUUGACGUCGCGAAACAUCUUGGGCCAAUAGUAGUUCUUGGAGAGUGUGGCGAAAGUCUUGUCGCGUCCAAAAUGCCCCAUUAAUCCUCCUCCAUGAGAUUCCUGCAAAAGAAACAAAGGAAGAUAAGACUCGGGGAUGCAAAGCUUGUUAGCUCUCAUAAGAUAACCGUGUUUGAUGUAAUAGCGAUCCCAAGAGGUAUGCGUCAAGCACUUGGCAUAAGGAACGGUGCUAAAAACUUUCACAAAGCGACGAUAGAAACCUGCAAGGCCAAGAAAGCUACGCACUUGUUGCAAGUUGGUUGGUUGUGGCCAAGUCUUAAUAGCAUUGAUCUUGGACACAUCUACAUGAACACCCUUAGAAGAUACAACAAAACCCAAGAAAACAAGCUUAUCAACGCCAAAAAGGCAUUUCUCCAUAUUAGCAUAGAGAUGCUCUUUUCGAAGAGUUUGUAAAACGGUUUGGACAUGGGUGACAUGCUCUUUGAGAGACUUGCUAAAAACAAGGAUAUCAUCGAAGUAGACCACAACAAACACACCAAUGUAAGGGCGAUAGACAUGAUUCAUAAGACGCAUAAAAGUACCCGGUGCUUCCGAUAGACCCAUAGGCAUGACUAACCACUCAUACAAGCCAUACUUGAUUUUGAAAGCGGUUUUCCAUUCAUCACCCUCUUGUAUGCGGAUUUGAUAGUAACCACUCUUAAGAUCAAUUUUUGAAAAGAUAGUGGCACCACUAAGUUCAUCAAGCAUAUCAUCAAGGCAUGGAAUUGGAUACCUAUAACGAACGGUGAUAGCAUUGAUAGGUCUACAAUCGGAGCACAUGCGAAAGCUACCGUCUCGGUUUGGCACAAGAAUGACCGGGAUGGCACAAGGGCUCAAACUUUCACGCACAUGUCCAUGGUCUAUGAGAUUCUUUACCUGCCUUUGUAUUUCUUUGGUUUCUUGGUGGUUGAUGCGGUAGGGUGCUUUGUUCGGAUGAGGUGCUCUAGGGAUGAGGUCGAUGCGGUGCUCGAUUCCUUGUAGUGGAGGUAGUCCCGGAGGUAGCUCAUCGGGGGAACCAUCUUGAAAUUCCUGCAAAAGAGAAGACAACACUAGAGGUAGACUGUGAGAGGUGUUAGCUUGUUUUGUGUUGUCCUUGCACAAAAGGACAUAGUGUAGGACACUAGAUGGGUUCUCAAACACUCCUCUUAUCUCACUUUUGGUGGCAAAUAGAACUAAGUUCUUCUUGUCACUAUCGUGGAGGCGCUCGGUUUGGGCUUGUGGCGCUCACUCUCUUUGUGGUGGCUCACUCUCUCACUAUUCUCUCCAUGAUGGGUGGCUUGCUUGUCGGUGACCACUUGGCUUGGAGACAUGGGGAGAAGUACAUACUCCUUUCCUUUCAUCUUGAAGAUGUAGUGGUUCGUUCAGCCAUUGUGGAUGACACCUCUAUCAAAUUGCCAUGGGCGUCCAAGGAGAAGGUGGCAAACGGUCAUUGGAACGACGUCGCACUCCAAAGUGUCUUCGUAGGCACCAAUUUUUAAGGAGACUUGUACUCAAUGCUCUACUUGGAUAGUGCCGGAGUCGCUAAGCCAUUGCACUUUGUAUGGAUGUGGAUGCUUCGUCUUGGGAAAUUGGAGCUUGGAGAAAAGUUCUUCACUUGCGAGGUUAUGACAACUCCCUCCAUCGAUGAUGACCUUGACAGAUCGUCCAUUGAUGUCGGCCUUGGUAUCAAAGAUGUGGCAUCGUUGGUCUUCUUCUUGGUGAUGUUGGAGAGUCAAGACCUUAGAGACAAUGAGAGCGGGACUUGAAUCUUCAUCGCAUAAGACUUGUUCCUCUUCGUCGUUCACUUGCCGGUGCAUGGUGACUUGCUCAAGAGCGUCCAUUUCUCCUUCACUCAUUGAGUCAUAAGUGUCGUCGUCAUUGAGGAUCAUGGUCCGCUUGUUGGUACACUCGUAGGACCUGUGGCCCCGGCCUCCGCAUCUGAAGCAUUUGAAAGAACUCGUCUUGACGGUCUCAUCGGUUGGGGUUGAGGAAGAUGAAGCUCUCGGCUUGAAGUUGCUUGUAGUAGGAGGAUGACUUGGAGUUGACGUAGCUUUCUUGGAACUCGAGUUGUCGAUGUUGCUUGUUGAAGGCUUGGUAGACAGUGUUGGAGUCGUUGAAGCUUGGGUGUUGGAGAGGCCGUAGGACUUGGAUGAGAACUUGGCAUACUUGAAAUCAUCUUGCACUUGAUGUUCCGCUUUUGUAGCUUGAUGCACGAGCUCGAUGAGGUUUGAGUAUGGUUGGAAGUCGGCGAUCUUCUUGAUAGGAUGGUUGAGUCCAUUCAAGAAACGUGCCAUAGUUUGCUCAUCAUCUUCCGUGACGUUGGCUCUUAUCAUGGCAAUCUCCAUCACCUUGUAGUACUCUUCAAUGCUCUUGGUUCCUUGCUUGAGUAGUUGGAGUUUCUUGAAGAGGUCGCGGUUGUAGUAGGUUGGCACUAAGCGUGCUCUCAUGGCAUCCUUCAUUUGCGCCCAAGUAGUGAUGGGUGGUUCACCUCUUGCCUCACGACACUCGAUUACUUGUUCGCACCAAAUGAGGACAUAGUCUCGGAACUCAAGGGUUGCCAUUGCUAUCUUCUUCUCUUCUUCGUAGUUGUGCAAAUGGAAGAUUUUGUCGACCUUCAAUGCCCAUGACAGGUACUCUUCGGGAUCGUUGCUUCCAUUGAACUUGGGCAUGGUGAACUUUAGCUUGCCAUAGCGUUGCUCUUCAUUGUGUAGGGGUCACGGAUGAUGACGCCCAUGUUGUUGAUGAUUGUCCAACUCGUGUUGCUCUUGGCAAGGAGGGUUGUUAACCUCAUGUUGCUCUUGUCAUGGAGGAUUCCCAUUGUCUUCAUGCUCUUGGUGAACUUGAUGUCCUUGAGGAGCUUGUGGAGGGGCUUGUCAAGCUCGAGGAGGAACUUGACGAUGCACGUGAGCUUGAAAUCUUCGUUCGUGAGCUUCUUUGCGAAGUGCUUCUUCAUGUUCACGAGCUUGUCGGCCUCGGUUGGCUACGGCUCGACUUGAAUCUUGGAGGGCUUGUUGCACCUCAAUUGCUUGAGCAUCACGGAUUUGUUGUUCUUGUCGUUGUGCCUCAGCAUCUUGUGCAUCUUGGUGUAGGCGUGUUCGCUCUUCCUCUUCAUGUUGGCGUUGGCGUUGUCGCUCUCGUGCUUGCGCAAGAACCUCUUGGGUUUGAUGUUGUCGGUGCUCUUGAGAGUUGGUGUCGCUUAGAGGAUUGAGGCUCGCUUGACGAUCUUUGCGCGCGGCACGUCAAAGAGUGUUCGAUGUCGGUGUACUUGAGCCUAAGAGGGUGAAGUCGGAGUGGCGACUUGAGCGGGUCCGUCUUGAUGAGGAUGAAGUGGAAGAAGAGAGGUUUAGCAACAAAGCACGAAUCUUGUCCAUUCUUGCGUCGUUCUCUUACUUGUGAUCGUCGACCUUGUGGUUGAAGUAGUCCCUUGUACGUUUCUCGGAGAGUCGCAAGUCAGCGGCGAGGUUGUCGAUGCGUUCACUCAUUGCUUGUUGCUCUUGAUGCAAAGCACGUUGUGCACCAAAGAGGUGGCUCUUGGUGACGUAGGAGUUCAUGUCAUCGUCGUGCUCAAUGAAGAGUGGGUUGGUAGAGGUACUUGUCCUAUCCAUCAUUCCAAGAGAAAAAUGUGAGUGGAAGAAUAGAAGAACGAAUACCAAAUGUACCUUGACCGAAGUUGAAAGUGGAUCAAUAAUCACUCCAAUGUGGACAAGGAAAUAGCACACUUGGUACCAAUUCUUGUCGGUUUCUCACACCUACACAAGUAAAAGCUUAUGGUGGAGCUUGGUUAGGAUGGUGGCACAAAAUUUAAUGCAAUUGUAAGUGAGCUUCAAUAAUGUUGGAGAAGAUUCGCAAGAUUGCAAUGCAACAAGUAGACUAAGCAAUAUAAGGUACACGGAAACACACACGCAAAAAGAUAAGUGGGGUCGUGCAACCAAGGAUGAGCCAAAAUGUGGAAUCCACAAAAAUGCUCUUGUUGCACAACACUAGAGAGACGCUAGCACGAUUGCACAAUAGGCGGAUACAAAGACUUGUGCACAACCUAUUCAGAAAAAAUGCAACGACUUCUAUCCCAAAUAUGCUCUAUGCAAGGUGUUUCUGUGCGAUGAUCCAAGAUGAUCUGGUAUGACAAUCUUAAUGUUGUAUGAUGCUAUGGUUCUUGCCUAAAAGCUCUUUGUUUAUAUUUCCCUUUUGCUUAAAAGCUUGUUUGGCUCUUUGUUGUUUGAGCUAUUUUCUCAUGCAAUGCUUCAUGAACCAAGACAACAAUUUUGUAUGCGAUGACAACCUUGUGACACAAGAGAUGAUACCAAGAUAUGCAACAAUUAUGUAUGUAUGCUAUGGGAAGUAUGAUCACUAAUGUGCACAAGUCUCAUUGCCGGCAAUACUCAACGGCUAGUCUCGAUGGGUAAGCGAUGCAGAGGAGUAAGGCUAUGAUGGCUAUCAAUGUAAUGGCAAGAAUGAUAUGUCCAAUACCAAGGUGAGGUUACCGUUCCGUUGGUUCCUCGUCCGUAAGCAAAACGGAUGACGAUGAUCCAAUGAGCGUCACGAAUACCAAGAUGUAGUCGAGGUAAUCGUUGUUGAUGACGCGUCCGUGGCGAAGAUGAGCGGCGGUUAUGUUGAUGUCGUACCGUACCUAAAUAGAUGAAACACAAGUAGGACACGGAACCGCAACUCAAAUUCUCAAAGCAAAAUUGGACCAAAAUUGUUAGAGUUGGUGUUGGGAAGCAGUGGUUGUGUAUGUGGUAUAUGGUGGUGCUAUGCGGAAGUGGUGGUGGUAUGCGGAAGUAUAUGUGGGCACGGGAACAAAAUUUGGCGAAAUAUGGACGCAAAACGGGCGGUGGAGAGGAAGAGAUGCUGCCAGGGGCCGGAUGUCCGGGCUUGAUGGCCGGAUGUCCGGGGUGCCGGAUGCGGGGUAUCGGGCCGGAUGUCCAGGCUCUGGAUCCGAGGAUGAACGGGAUGAACACCGCGUGGAGAUGUCAAAUCCGGGCAAUAUUCGGAGAAAUUUGUGGAUGGAAAUUGGGGGAAAAUGGAUGGAAGGAUAGAUCUACCUGCAACACACGAAAUUCGCAGAUCAAAUCCAACAAAACUUCAUCACACCAACAAAUCACAAAAAAAAUUGGGGGCUAUUUUUGUGGUGAAUUUUCAAAUUAGGGACAAAAUCAACAAAAACAAGGCUAGCAACACAACGGGGAGGCUCCAAAAUCGUGAUCAACGUGGCUCUAGAUACCAAGAUGAUGUAGGGUAGAACCCUAAUCGGUCGAUCUUUCACGAAAGGAGCGGAUCCCGCGAUGAACACGAAGAAUACAAGGGGGAAAACGAGGGGAAACACGAGAGGAAACACGAGAAAAUCUCUAAACCAAAACGAAAUAGUCACACAUGUGCUAGAUCCUCGAGUACAUAAGAGAUCACACGAUCCACGGACAACUAAGGACGAUACAAAGGUAGCCGGUCUUCACCGUGAGGAGGUCUUGAAGUUCUUCUCCGCAAGGAGGUCUCGAAUCCAAAGGGAUCUUCUCCGAAGAGGGGCCGCGGUCUCUCUCGUGGAGUAGAUCCAAUGUGGAUGAGCAAUGCUCUAUCUCUAAAUAUGAGCUUAAUCAAUGCUAACCCUAGAAAGAGGAACGCGGAGGAGUAUAUAUAGUCUAGGGGUUGAAGGGUACACGGGCCUCGGCCCUUCACUGUGCGCAGAUAGGGGAGGCCGGACGUCCGGGCGUCGGGCCAUAUGUCCGGGCUUCCACGCGAGGCCGGAUGUCCGGGCUGGAGAGGCCGGAUGUCCGGGCUGGAGCGGCUGGCUUCGUCGCUCUCGGGUUCGGAGGGGUCCAGAUUUCUGGGCUGGAGGCCGGAUAUCCAGGAGCUCGGGAAGGGCCGGAUGUCCGGGCUGUCGGGGUCGGAUGCCCGAGGCAUGUAGAUGCUUGGCGGCUAUGCAGCUUGAUGAUGGACGACGCUCCAGCCGACAGACGUCCGGGGUUGUGGCCGGAUGUCCGGGUCCUGGGAGGUGUUCUUGACUCCUUCCGUGGGUUCCCUUCAUCCAUGAACUUGGGGGCUUGUACACCUUCACGUGCAUCUACGGGAGGGUCCUCUUGGUACCUAAUCAUGCACAACGUCUCGGAUUCAGGUAGUAGCCAUGUCUCAAGAGGAUCAUAUGUAAUAUCACUAAGGAAGGAAGUCACCUCGUUCUCGAGAGCUCUAGCUCUAGCUCGUGUCAUGGGUCCUCUUGGCUCUUGUUGAGGCGAUGGUAGGUCCAUGGGGAUGACCGUAGGAUGCUUCGCAUCAACCGCGAAGAAACCAAAGAAAUACAAAGGCUAGUCCAACAUCUCAUAGACCAUGGACAUGUGUGUGAAAGUUUGAGUCCUUGUGUCGUGCCGGUCAUUCUUGUGCCAAAAAGAAAUGGUAGUUUUCGCAUGUGUUCCGAUUGUAGACCCAUCAAUGCUAUCACCAUUAGAUAUAGGCAUGCUAUUCCUUGCCUUGAUGAUAUGCUCGAUGAUCUUAGCGGUGCCACCAUUUUCUCAAAAUUGAUCUUAAAAGUGGUUAUUAUCAAAUAAGCAUACAUGAAGUUGAUGAAUGGAAAACCGUUUUCAAAACAAAAUUUGGUUUGUACGAGUGGCUAGUUAUGCCUAUGGGUUUAUCGGAAGCACCAUGUACUUUCAUGUGUGUUAUGCAUUAUGUGCUUCGACCUUACAUUGGUGUGUUUGUUGUGGUCUACUUUGACGAUACUCUUGUGUUUAGUAAAUCCCUAAAAGAGCACUUAGAUCAUCUUAGGGCCGUUUUGCAAACUCUUAGAAAAGAGCGCCUUUAAGCCAAUAUGGAAAAGUGCACUUUUGGUGUUGACAAGAUUGUUUUCUUGGGCUUUGUUGUCUCUUCCAAAGUUGAAGCAAUUAAAACUUGGCCACAACCUACUAAUUUGUAACAAGUGCGUAGUUUCCUUGGUAUAGCGGGUUUUUAUCGUCGUUUUGUGAAAGACUUUAGCACUAUUGCCGCACGGUUGCCAACUUUGAGUAAGAAGAACGCACCCUUUGUUUGGGCUCCAUCUCAAUCUACCGCAUUUGAUGAGCUCAAAUCUUUGCUUUCACAUGCCCCAAUUCUUGCAUUGCCUAAUUUCAACAAAACUUUGGAGGUUAAUUGUGAUGCUAGCGGUAAUGUAAUUGGUGGAGUUUUGAUGCAAGAAAAGCGACCCAUUGCAUACUUUAGUGAAAAACUUUACGGUGCUCAACUUAACUAUCCCAUAUAUGACAAAUAAUUGUAUGAUUUAGUGCGAGUAUUGCAUGUUUGGGAGCAUUAUCUCCGCCCACAUGAAUUUGUCAUACACACCGAUCAUGAGACACUGAAGUACCUUAAAGGUCAAACCAACUUGAAUAAACGGGAUGCUAAAUGGAGUGAAUUUAUUAAAUCUUUUCCUUAUGUGAUCAAGUACAUUAAGGGUAAAAAAAUGUUGUCGCGGAUGCUCUUUCAUGCAAAUUCAUGUUAGUUAGUAAACUUGAGUUGAAUGCUAUUGGCUUUGAGCAUGUUAAAGAUCUUUAGGCACUUGAUCCUACGUUUGCGAUUCCUUAUGCCAAAUGUCUUGCUAACACUUGUUGAGAGAACUAUUAUCUCAAGAAUGGCUACCUUAUGCUCACUAACAAGCUUUGUAUACCCGAGUCUUCGCUUCGUUUGCUACUUUUGCAAGAGGCCCAUGACGGAGGACUUAUGGACAUUUCGAGCGCGACAAGACCUUUGCCACACUCUCCUUCAAGUAAUUUUGGCCAAAAAUGUUCCGCGAUGUGGCACGCUUCACCAAGAAAUGCUCUACAUGCCGCAAAGCUAAGUCACUAUCUCAAUCUCAUGGUUUACAUAUGCCACUACCAAUUCCGUAUCAACCAUGGGAAGAUAUUAGUAUGGAUUUUAUGUUUGGUUUUCCUAGGACUCAAAAUGAAAAGGAUUCCAUAUUUGUUGUUGUGGACCGAUUCUCAAAAAUGACCCAUUUCAUCCCAUGCAAUAAGAUAAACGAUGCUUCACAUGUUGCAAACCUCUUUUGUAGGGAAAUCUUGAGGUCACAUGGAGUGCCAAGGAUCAUUGUGUCGGACCGCGACGUCAAGUUCCUAAGCUACUUUUGGAAGACAAUAUGCGCCAAGAUCGGCAUCAAGCUACUAUUCUUGACGGCCUAUCAUCCCUAAACCGAUGGCCAAACGGAAGUCAACAACCAGACGCUAUCUACUCUUCUAUGUGUGUUGAUAAAGAAGAAUGCCAAGGAGUGGGAGGAAUGCUUACCCAUCACCGAAUACGCCUACAAUCGAGCUCGACACUCUACUACCGGCAAGUCCCCCUUAGAGGUUGUGUACGGCUUCAACCCAUUGUCCCCAUUGGACAUUCUACCUCUUCCACUCCAAGAAUGUGCAAACAUUGAUGCAUGUGCAAGGGCAAGCUUUCCCAAGAAGAUACAUGAAGAUACAUGGACAACGAUCGAGCGUCAAGUACAUCGCAUCGCCACCAAGCUCAACACCAACAAGACACAAAUGGUGUUCCAAUCGGGAGAUCUCGCAUGACUUCAUCUUCGCAAGAACCGCUUCCCCAACGAGCACAAGUCCAAGCUACUACCACCAGCUAAUGGACCCUUUAAGGUGCUAGCACGCUACAACGAGAACGCUGAUACGUCUCCAACAUAUCCAUAAUUUUUGAUUGUUCCAUGCUAUAUUAUAUUCUGUUUUGGACAUUAUUGGGCUUUAUUAUACACUUUUAUAUUAUUUUUGGGACUAACCUAUUAACCGGAGGCGCAGCCCAGAAUUGCUAUUUUUGCCUAUUUCAGAGUUUCGCAGAAAAAUAAUAUUAAACGGAGUCCAAACGGAAUGAAACUUUCGGGAACGUGAUUUUCGGAACAAACGUGAUCCAGAGGACUUGGACCCUACGUCAAGAAAGCAACCAGGAAGGCACGAGGUAGGGGGUGCACCUACCCCCUAGGCGCGCCCUCCACCCUCGUGGGGCCCAUGUUGCUCCACUGACGUACUUCUUCCUCCUAUAUAUACCUACAUACCCCCAAAUUACCAGAUACGGAGCCAAAACCCUAAUUCCAUCGCCGCAACCUUUUGUACCCGUGAGAUCCCAUCUUGGGGCCUUUUCCGGAGCUCCGCCAGAGGGGGCAUCGAUCACGGAGGGCUUCUACAUCAACAACAUAGCCUCUCCAAUGAUGUGUGAGUAGUUUAUUUCAGACCUUCGGGUCCAUAGUUAUUAUCUAGAUGGCUUCUUCUCUCUUUUUGGAUCUCAAUACAAUGUUCUCCCCCUCUCUUGUGGAGAUCUAUUCGAUGUAAUCUUCUUUUGCGGUGUGUUUGCCGAGACCGAUGAAUUGCGGGUUUAUGAUCAAGUUUAUCUAUAAACAAUAUUUGAAUCAUCUCUGAAUUCUUUUAUGUAUGAUUGGUUAUCUUUGCAAGUCUCUUGGAAUUAUCAGUUUGGUUUGGCCUACUAGAUUGAUCUUUCUUGCAAUGGGAGAAGUUCUUAGCUUUGGGUUCAAUCUUGCGGUGUCCUUUCCCAGUUUCAGUAGGGGCAGCAAGGCAUGUAUUGUACUGUUGCCAUCGAGGAUAACAAGAUGGGGUUUAUAUCAUAUUUCAUGAGUUUAUCCCUCUACAUCAUGUCAUAUUGCUUAAAGCGUUACUUUGUUCUUUUGAACUUAAUACUCUAGAUGCAUGCUGGAUAGUGGUCGAUGUGUGGAGUAAUAGUAGUAGAUGCAGGCAGGAGUCGGUCUAUUUGUCUCGGGCAUGAUGCCUAUAUACAUGAUCAUACCUAGAUAUUCUCAUAACUAUGCUCAAUUCUGUCAAUUGCUCAACAGUAAUUUGUUUACCCACCAUAAUACUUAUGCUCUCGAGAGAAGCCACUAGUGAAACCUAUGGCCCCGGGGUCUAUUCUCGAUCAUAUUAAUCUUCCAUCAACAAGCUAUUUCUUUUCCGUUUUUAUUUUGCUUUAUUUACUUUCCAUCUUUAUCAUAAAAAAUACCAAACAUAUUAUCUUAUCAUAUCUAUCAGAUCUCACUUUCGUAAGUGACUGUGAAGUGAUUGACAACCCCUUUUAUUGCGUUGGUUGCGAGGAUUUUAUUUGUUUGUGUAGGUGCGAGGGACUCGCGCGUGGCCUCCUGCUGGAUUAAUACCUUGGUUCUCAAAAGCUGAGGGAAAUACUUACGCUACUUUGCUGCAUCACCCUUUCCUCUUCAAGGGAAAACCAAUGCAGUGCUCAAGAGGUAGCAAGAAGGAUUUCUGGCGCCGUUGCCGGGGAGUCUACGCAAAAGUCAACAUACUAAGUACCCAUCACAAACCCUUAUCUCCCGCAUUACAUUAUUUGCCAUUUGCCUCUCGUUUUCCUCUCCCCCACUUCACCCUUGCCGUUUUAUUUGCCCUCUCUCUCCGUCCUCCUUCUCUUUCCCUAUUUGCCUCUUUUUUGCCCGUUUCUUGCUUGCUUGUCAUUAUGGCUAGUCCCCUAUCUUCUCCGUUGUCUCCUGAAAAUGAAGUUCUUAAUUUUAAGCAAAGGGAAAGAUAAAAUCUAAAAGAUGAUUGGUAUAGAAUUUGCAAUGCUCAAAAUAGAUCUACCAGGAAGCAAUCCACUUCCAUUCUUCUUCGCAAUUUUGAUGUAGGCGCUACUCCUUGGCACAGAUAUAUCCUUGAUACCAUUACCGGAGGGUAUUUCUUGGGUAGCCAUACUUUUGAUUGUUAUAAUGCUAUGAUAGAUUUGUUUGGCUCACACCCUCUUUUGGUUAAUGGAACUAUGUUAACUUUGGAGCAUGUAAUGUAAAGACUUGAAAUUAUUGAAAAUAAAGUUGCUACCGUAGAGUUAAUUGAAAAUUUGGAUAAAAAGAUCCACAACCAAAUUACUCAAUAUGGAUCUAAAGUAGGAGUCACUUUGAAAAAUAUUAAGGAGAAGGAACCCAUAGUUAAUGAAAGAAUAAAUCAGGAUUCAACUAGAAUCGAUAAACUUGAGGGUAUCAUUACCAACUUGGGAACCGCUUUUUCUUCCGUAAAAAAUACUCCAAGUCCUCCAACUAAAAUUGCCAAGCUUAUGUAUGUUCCUAAAAAUAAGGGUGAAUCCUCUAGCAAGGAAACUGCGGAUCUCAAAUCUAUAAGUAUUCAUCCCAAUCUUUUUGCUAUCAUUAAGGAACCAUUUGCUACGAAUGAUUUUUUCGAUUUUGAGACUAGAAGUUUGAUAAUUAAUAAAAAGAAAGAAACUCCUAAGGAUGAUAGAUGUCUCAUUAAAGAAUUGCCAACUAAAGCUGGCAAUACCUAGAUCUAUCUUCGCUUUUAUGCCUAGCUAGGGGCGUUAAACGAUAGCGCUUGUUGGGAGGCAACCCAAUUUUAUUUUUAUUCCUUGCUUUUUGCUCCUGUUUAGUAAUAAAUAAUUUAUCUAGCCUCUUUUUUGGUUGUGUUUUUUGUGUUUAAUUAGUGUUUGUGCCAAGUAGAACCGUUGGGAAGACUUGGGGAAAGUCUUUUUAAUCUUGCUGUAAAAAACAGAAACUUUAGCGCUCACGGGAAUUGCUGCCAUUUUUAUUUGGAAAGUGAUAUUUAGUUAAUUAUUUUUGAAUAUGAUUAAUAGAUAAAUUACUCACGUCCAGCAAUUUAUUUUAGAAUUUUUAGGGUUCCAGAAGUUUGCUUUAGAUACAGAUUACUACAGACUGUUCUGUUUUUGACAUAUUCUGUUUUUCGUGUGUUGUUUGCCUAUUUUGAUGAAUCUAUGGCUAGUAAAAUAGUUUAUAAACCAUAGAGAAGUUGGAAUACAGUAUGUUUAACACAAAUAUAAAUAAAUAAUGAGUUCAUUAUAGUACAUUGAAGUGGUGUUUUGUUUUCUUUCGCUAACGGAGCUCACGAGAUUUUCUACUUUGAGUUUUGUGUUGUGAAGUUCUCGAGUUUUGGGUAAAAUAUUUGAUGGAUUAUGAAACAAGGAGUGUCAAGAGCCUAAUCUUGGGGAUGCCCAUGGCACCCCAAUAUAAUCUAAGGACACCUAAAAGCCAAAGCUUGGGUAUGCCCCGGAAGGCAUCCCCUCUUUCGUCUACUUUCAUCGGUAACUUUACUUGGAGCUAUAUUUUUAUUCACCACAUGAUAUGUGUUUUGCUUGGAGUGUCUUGUAUUAUUUGAAUAUUUAUUUGUUAGUUUGCUAUAAUAAUCUUUGCUAUACACACCUUUUGAUAGAAACACACAUGAUUUGAAAAUUAUUAAAAUACUCUAUGUGCUUCACUUAUAUCUUUUGAGUUAUAUAGUUUCUGCUCUAGUACUUCACUUAUAUAUUUUAGAGCACGGUGGUGGAUUUGUUUUAUAGAAAAUAUUAUUCUCUCAUUCUUCACUUAUAUUAUUUUGAGAGUCUUAAACAGCAUGGUAAUUUACUUAAACUAGGAAAUUAAUCCUAAUAUGCUAGGCAUUCAAGACUAGUAAAAAAUAUUUAUGAGUGUGCUGAAUACUAAGAGAAGUUUAAUACUCGAUAAUUGUUUUGAGAUAUGGAGAUGGUGAUAUUAGAGUCAUGCUAGUUGAGUAGUUGUGAAUUUUAGAAAUACUUGUGUUGAAGUUUGUGAUUCCCGUAGCAUGCACGUAUGGUGAACUGUUAUGUGAUGAAGUCGGAGCAUGAUUUAUUUAUUGAUUGUCUUCCUUAUGAGUGGCGGUCGGGGAUGAGCGAUGGUCUUUUCUUACCAAUCUAUCCCCCUAGGAGCAUGCGCGUAAUACUUUGCUUUGAUAACUAAUAGAUUUUUGCUAUAAGUAUGUGAGUUCUUUAUGACUAAUGUUGAGUCCAUGGAUCAUAUGCACUCUCACCCUUCCACCAUUACUAGCCUCCCUAAUACCGCGCACUUUUCGCCGGUAUCAUACACCCACCAUAUACCUUCCACAAAACAGCCACCAUACCUACCUAUCAUGGCAUUUCCAUAGCCAUUGUGAGAUAUAUUGCCAUGCAACUUACCACCAUUCCGUUUAUUAUGACACGCUCCAUCAUCGUCAUAUUGCUUUGCAUGAUCAUGUAGUUGACAUUGUAUUUGUGGCAAAGCCACCGUUCAUAAUUCUUUCAUAUAUGUCACUCUUGAUUCAUUGCACAUCCCGGUACACCGCCGGAGGCAUUCACAUAGAGUCCUAUUUUGUUCUAAGUAUCGAGUUGUAAGUAAAUAAAAGUGUGAUGAUCAUCAUUUUUAGAGCAUUGUCCCAAGUGAGGAAAGGAUGAUGGAAACUACGAUUCCCCGACAAGUAGGGAUGAGACUCCGGACUAAAUAAAAAAAGAGGCCAUAAAAGAAGAGAAAAGGCCCAAAUAAAAAAUGAGAGAAAAAGAGAGAAAAAUAGAGAAGGGACAAUGCUACUAUCCUUUUACCACACUUGUGCUUCAAAGUAGCACCAUGAUCUUCAUGAUAGAGAGUCUCCUAUGAUAUCACUUUCAUAUACUAGUGGGAAUUUUUCAUUAUAGAACUUGGCUUGUAUAUUCCAAUGAUGGGCUUCCUCAAAAUGCCCUAGGUCUUCGUGAGCAAGCGAGUUGGAUGCACACCCACUUAGUUCCUUUUGUUGAGCUUUCAUAUAUUUAUAGCUCUAGUGCAUCCGUUGCAUGGCAAUCCCUACUCACUCACAUUAAUAUCUAUUAAUGGGCAUCUCCAUAGCCCGUUGAUACGCCUAGUUGAUGUGAGACUAUCUUCUCCCUUUUUGUCUUCUCCACAACCACCAUUCUAUUCCACAUAUAGUGAUAUGCCCAUGGCUCAUGCUCAUGUAUUGCGUGAAGAUUGAAAAAGUUUGAGAACACCAAAAGUAUGUAACAAUUGCUUGGCUUGUCAUCGGGGUUGUGCAUGAUUUAAAUACUUUGUCUGGUGAAAAUAGAGCAUAGACAGACUAUAUGAUUUUGUAGGGAUAACUUUCUUCGGCCAUGUUAUUUUGAGAAGACACAAUUGCUUAGUUAGUAUGCUUGAAGUAUUAUUAUUUUUAUGUCAAUAGUAAACUUUUGUCUUGAAUCUUUCGGAUCUGAAUAUUCAUACCAAAAUUAAGAAAAUUACACUGAAAUUAUGCCAAGUAGCAUUCCACAUCAAAAAUUCUGUUUUUAUCAUUUACCUAUUGGAGGACGAGCAGGAAUUAAGCUUGGAGAUGCUUGAUACGUCUCCAACGUAUCUAUAAUUUUUUAUUGUUCCAUGCUAUAUUAUAUUCUGUUUUGGACAUUAUUGGGCUUUAUUAUACACUUUGAUAUUAUUUUUGGGACUAACCUAUUAACCGGAGGCCCAACCCAUAAUUGUUGUUUUUGACUAUUUCAGAGUUUUGGAGAAAAAGAAUAUCAAACGGAGUGCAAACGGAAUGAAACCUUCAGGAAUGUGAUUUUUGGAACGAACGUGAUCCAAAGGACUUGGACCCUAUGUCAACAAAGCAACCAGGAAGGCACAAGGUAGGGGGGCGCGCCUACCCCCCAGGCGCGCCCUCCACCCUCGUGGGGCCCACAUUGAUCUACCAAUGUACUUCUUCCUCCUAUAUAUACCUACGUACCCCCAAAUUACCAGAUACGGAGCCAAAACCCUAAUUCCACCGCCGCAACCUUCUGUACCCAUGAGAUCCCAUCUUGGGGCCUUUUCCGGAGCUCCGCCGGAGGGGGCAUCGAUCACAGAGGGCUUCUACAUCAACAUCAUAGCCUCUCCGAUGAUGUGUGAGUAGUUUAUUUCGGACCUUCGGGUACAUAGUUAUUAGCUAGAUGGCUUCUCCUGUCUUUUUGGAUCUCAAUACAAUGUUCUCCCCCUCUCUUGUGGAGAUCUAUUCGAUGUAAUCUUCUUUUGUGGUGUGUUUGUUGAGACCGAUGAAUUGUGGGUUUAUGAUCAAGUUUAUCUAUGAAUAAUAUUUGAAUCUUCUCUGAAUUCUUUUAUGUAUGAUUGGUUAUCCUUGCAAGUCUCUUCAAAUUAUCAGUUUGGUUUGGCCUACUAGAUUGAUCUUUCUUGCAAUGGGAGAAGUGCUUAGCUUUGGUUUCAAUCUUGCGGUGUCCUUUCCCAGUGACAGUAGGGGCAGCAAGGCACGUAUUGUAUUGUUGCCAUCGAGGAUAACAAGAUGGGGUUUAUAUCAUAUUGCAUGAGUUUAUCCUUGUACAUCAUGUCAUCUUGCUUAAAGCGUUACUCUGUUCUUUUGAACUUAAUACUCUAGAUGCAUCCUGGAUAGCGGUCGAUGUGUGGAGUAAUAGUAGUAGAUGCAGGCAGGAGUGGGUCUACUUGUCUCGGACGUGAUGCCUAUAUACAUGAUCAUACCUAGAUAUUCUCAUAACUAUGUUCAAUUCUGUCAAUUGCUCAAUAGUAAUUUGUUUACCCACCGUAAUACUUAUGCUCUCGAGAGAAGCCACUAGUGAAACCUAUGGCCCCCGGGUCUAUUUUCCAUCAUAUUAAUCUUCCAUCAACAAGCUAUUUCUUUGCCGUUUUUAUUUUGCUUUAUGUACUUUGCAUCUUUAUCAUAAAAAUACCAAAAAUAUUAUCUUAUCAUAUCUAUCAGAUCUCACUUUCGUAAGUGACCGUGAAGGGAUUGACAACCCCUUUAUUGCGUUGGUUGCGAGGAUUUUAUUUUUUUGUGUAGGUGCAAGGGACUCACGCGUGGCCUCCUACUGGAUUGAUACCUUGGUUCUCGAAAACUGAGGGAAAUACUUACACUACUUUGCUGCAUCACCCUUUACUCUUCAAGGGAAAACCAAAGCAUUGCUCAAGAGGUAGCAAACGCCUACAAGAUCGACAUCCCACGACACAAGUACAACGUAAGCGACAUCUUCAAUGUCAAGGACUUGGCGAAGUACCAUGGUGAUGAAGAUCACGAUCCGCGGACGGAUCUCUACCAGGAGGGGGGGGGAUGAUGCGGAGCAUCCUUCCAUCAUUCCCAUGGACUCUACACCAACACACCAAGCACCACGUGGGCCUAUGACAAGAGCUCGAGCACGCGCAAUGAAAACUGAGGUGAACUCCUUCCUACUUGACAUGCAUAUGUACACGAAUGGGACUUUGUUGCUACCUCACCAAAAUGCACUAUGUAUCAUUAGGUACGAAGAGGAACAUUCCCAAGCAGCUAAGGAGCAUCACCAAGGAGUAGGAGAAGCAACCCAAGGACUUGAGGAAGAAGAAGGAAGCACAAAGGAGCAGGACAGAAGUCCUAGGCGACCCCGUGUGCACGGCCCCCCGAGACCCCGUGCCCACGGGCUACACAGUGAGCUACGGUUGUAGCACCCCGUGCGCUUGGGCGUGUACCGUGUGCACGGGACCCCCAUGCGCACGGGCCCAACUUACCCCGUGCGCUCGAGCCCUACAGGAUGGCCGACUAAGUUCGGGUUUUGGGCCUCCACUUCAUCCUCCUUGCCCCAAGCCUAUAUAUUCCAUACCUAGGGUUAUGUUUAGGGUUAGCAAAGACAUAUGUGAGAUAUUUGAGAGAUUUGCUCCUUCUACCACUCCAUUGGAGAUCAAGGCCUCUUAGGAGAGGAUCCACUUGUGGAUUUCAAGACCUCCUCUUGGAGAAGACUAUCAUCAUCAAGACCUCAUCUCUUAGGAGUGGGAAGAACUUUACCUAGUGCGUGUUUCCUUUGAUUGUUCAUGUACUCUCGUGGAUCUAUGUGUUUGCUAUUCUAAUGGAUGUGUGAUUGGGUUUUGUUGGAGUGAAUUCCUCUUUGUGUUCUCGGUAUUCAUCCCUCUUUCCCCUCCAAGUCUGAAAAUAUCCAUCUUAGGGUUUCACCCUACAACAAUACGUUUCCUCCUAGUGACGCACGUUGCCGGAAGGCCUAGAAUAAAUCUCGUAAAAUGCGAGCACCAACGUAAGUCUAAAACUUGAACUCUGUUGGGUUAGUUAUAUCACUGUCCUCCUAACCAUCCAACUACAUGUUGGUUCGCCAUAAAUCCUCUUUUUAUCUAUAUGAAAUGACAGUGAUGUCGUCUAACAAAAGAUGCUAGCUCAAGUGAAGUGCAUGAACAUGCUCUCAAAAUUAAUGGCACAUUUAUAUAUUUAUAUCAAUGGCUCUUUACCUUUAUUUCUACAAGUCUUAAAUUAUCACAAAUAAUAAGUACAAUACGUGUGGCACAAUGCACUCCAGCCCUGACCUUUUUUACAACUAAAGUUGCCAUCUGAAAAAAAACUUACCAUCCGAAAAAAAGUUGUCAUGCUUGACUAUUAAAAUUGUCAUACUUGCAUCACUAAGUUUGCCAUGAAAAACGUUCGGAGUUGCCAUGUGUUUGUACCACACAUGUGACACUUAUCAUUGUCCUAAAUUAUUUGUCUGUUAAUUUAUAAUACAUACUGUAAAAUUUCCGGACAAUUCAAAUCAAAAGGAAGGUAAAACGAAGAAAGUGUCAACAAAGAAUUUUGUGAACAUUCAUGGGGGAUCAAUAUCAUGAGUUGUCCAGGAAGAAACAAUAAUAACAGAAGCUAAAAUAUAAACCGACACCCUGGGUUUAGAUUACUAGAUACACACACAAACACAUUUGUUGCCUCGAUUGUUUCCUCUCCACCGAUCAACCCACGUACGCAUGCACACAAGAUGAGUAUCUUCACUUCUGCUCUGCUCUAGUUAGACUCGAGCUGCGCGUACCACACACCCUGGAUCUUGACAUCCUUGGGCGCCUUGGCGCCGAGGUCGGUGUCUGACGGCUGCACGCUCUCGAAGACACCGAUCACCUCGCCGGUCUCCGGCUUGCUCUUGGUCACGCUGAGCGUGAUGUUGCCCGUGGACGAGGACGCGUUCUUCACGUUCUCCUUAGCCAACUCCUCCUCGUCUCCUCUGCCUCCGGCGGGUAGCGCCACGGCGUUGUCGUAGCCAGUAGAGCCACCACGGCCCUUUGGGUCGAGGAAAGACGAACCCCUGUAGCUGGGCACGAGGAAGGGCCCGCUGAAGCUCUCGGGCUUGCCGGUAGCGACGAGCUGCUUGACGGUGAAGAGGAAGGGCACUCGCUCGCCUCCGGGGAGCUGCACGGUGACGGCCGCGUAGUCGAUGCCGUCCUUCUCCUCGAACUUGAGGGUGCCGUCGGCGCCGACCUCGAGCGGGCCUUCCAUCUCGUCAAGGGUGUAGGUGAGACGGGUCAUGAGCUUGGUUUUCUGGAAGGCCGGCGGCUCGUUCUUCUGGAUGCCCUCGGCCUUGACGGUGAAGGAGGUGGGCUCCAGGCAGAACUUCUUCAUCUCGUACUUGCCGGCCUUGAAGGGGAAGGAGUCGACGCCGCCGUCGAUGGUCGGGCACUGGUUCGCGGUGCCGGUACCCUUCACCUCCAUGUAGGUCUUGCUCUGGAUCUCGUCGAAGGUCAGCCUCUU